UUCCCGCUUGGUGAUCUUGGUGAGCUCAUCUCCUUCGUGCGCGGUUUUGAGCACAUCCCAAAUCUCCUUAGCGCUCUUCAACCCUUGUACUUUGUUAUACUCCUCUCUACUUAGAGAGGCGAGGAGUAUUGUCGUUGCUUGUGAGUUGAAGUGCUCGAUUUGGGCCACCUCAUCCUCAUCAUAGUUCUCAUCCCCUACCGACGGUACCUGUGCACCAAACUCAACAACAUCCCAUAUACUUUUGUGGAGCGAGAUUAGAUGAAAUCGCAUUAAAUCGCUCCACCUAGCGUAAUCUUCACCAUCAAAAGUUGGUGGUUUGCCUAAUGGGACGGAAAGUAAAGGAGUAUGUUUGGAAAUGCGAGGGUAGCGUAGGGGAAUCUUACUAUACUUCUUGCGCUCUUGGCGCUUAGAAGUGACGGAGGCCGCGUCGGAGUCGGAGGUUGAUGUUGAUGAAGUGUCGGUCUCGUAGUAGACCACCUUCCUCAUUCUUUUGUGCUUGUCCCCUCUCCGAUGCGGCUUGUGAGAAGAAGAUUUUUCCUUCUUCUCUUUGUGGUGAGAAGAGGAAGACUUUUUCUCCUUCCGUUUGGAGGAGUCCUUCUUCUUCUCCUUCCUCUUGGUGUGGGACUCUUCCGAUGAAGUACUCCCUUGGCUUGUAGUGGGCUUUUCGCCGGUCUCCAUCUCCUUCUUGGCGUGAUCUCCCGACAUCACUUCGAGCGGUUAGGCUCUAAUGAAGCACCGGCCUCUGAUACCAAUUGAAAGUCGCCUAGAGGGGGGGUGAAUAGGGCGAAACUGAAAUUUACAAAUAUAAACACAACUACAAGCCGGGGUUAGCGUUAGUAAUAAAGAAACGAGUCCGCGAGAGAGGGCGCAAAACAAAUCCCAAGCGAAUAAGCAAGUGAGACACGAAGAUUUGUUUUACCGAGGUUCGGUUCUUGCAAACCUACUCCCCGUUGAGGAGGCCACAAAGGCCGGGUCUCUUUCAACCCUUCCCUCUCUCAAACGGUCCCUCGGACCGAGUGAGCUUCUCUUCUCAAAUCAAAGCCGGGAACAAAACUUCCCCGCAAGGGCCACCACACAAUUGGUGCCUCUUGCCUUGAUUACAAUGAAGUUGUGAUCUCAAGAACAAGUGAGAAAAAAAGAAGCAAUCCAAGCGCAAGAGCUCAAAUGAACACGGCAAAUCACUCUCUCUAAUUACUAAAUCCUUUCGUGGAAUUGGAGAGGAUUUGAUCUCUUUUGGUGUGUCUAGAAUUGAAUGCUAGAGCUCUUGUAGUAGUUGGGAAGUGGAAAACUUGGAUGUAAUGAAUGGUGGGGUGGUUGGGGUAUUUAUAGCCCCAACCACCAAACUUGACCGUUGGCUGGAGGCGUCUGCUCGAUGGCGCACCGGACAGUCCGGUGCACACCGGACAGUCCGGUGCCCCCUGCCACGUCAUCACUGCCGUUGGAUUCUGACCGUUGGAGCUUCUGACUUGUGGGCCCGCCUGGGUGUCCGGUGCACACCGGACAGGUACUGUUUGAUGUCCGGUGUGCCAGCAUGGGCGAUUCUGACUUCUGCGCGCGCAGAGGGCGCAUUAAAUGCGCGGCAGAGAGCCGUUGGCGCGGAGAUGACCGUUGCUCCGGAGUCGCACCGGACAGUCCGGUGUACACCGGACAGUCCGGUGAAUUAUAGUGGACGAGCCGUUGGCUUUUCCCGAAGCUGGCGAGUUCCUGAGGCCGACCUCCCUUGGCGCACCGGACACUGUCCGGUGUACACCGGACAGUCCGGUGAAUUAUAGCCGAGUCGCCCUGGAAAUUCCCGAAGGUGGUGAGUUUGAGUCUGAGUCCCCUGGUGCACCGGACAGGUACUGUUCACUGUCCGGUGGCACACCGGACAGUCCGGUGCGCCAGACCAGGGGUGCCUUCGGUUGCCCCUUUGCUCCUUGGUUGAAUCCAAAACUUGGUCUUUUUAUUGGCUGAGUGUGAACCUUUUACUCCUGUAUAAUCUAUACACUUGGGCAAACUAGUUAGUCCAAUUUUGUGUUGGGCAAUUCAACCACCAAAAUUAUUUGGGAACUAGGUGUAAGCCUAAUUCCCUUUCACUUGGCGGCCGAACGGGUGAACCACCCACCCAUUUCUGCCGCCCUCGAUGGGCCAUCCGAUUGUAUCUACGCGCGGGCUCUCCCUCAACACUCUAGUGCCCGAGCUCCUUCCCCAGCGGCCUCCGCUCGGCGCGCCCCUUCUCUGCUCCCUCUGCGCGUGGACCCAGGGCGUCAGACUCGCCCCCUUCCUUCGCCCGCGCGACCCGGGCGAGCUCCAUCCUUGCGCGAUCCUCGGAAUCGGUUGACAACUGACCCUCGCGCGACCGCACGGGAUUACCCUGGGGCUCUGCGUCCUCUUUGCAUCGAUCCCCCUCCAAUAGAACGCUGCACGUCCAUCUCCGCACAAACCGGUAGUGCGCGUAACAGACGCCGUUCUCACCGGAGCUGCGGCAGACCACUUCCCCCCGAAACGAGCGGCGUAGGACCUGACGCCUCACCCCCUACCUCUCGUUAAAGCAGCGCCGAAUUUCUCUAUCGCAGAGCCAGCCCCAUACCCAUCCUUCUCGCCGCGCGGCCGAGCGAGGUGCUCGCCGGCGUCCACCGAAAUUGUUGAGCUCGUGCCUUGGCAAGUCUCUCGGAGUAUCGUCUGGAGGCCGGGGAUCGUUCUGGGGGAUGUGCGCGCAUGACUGAGGCCUCACCAUCACUAGAAUCGCUCACCGGAACUGUUCGCCCGCUCUCCACCGUGGCCAGCCGCGGUCAUCGCUUCAAUCACCGGUAUGUCAACUCCUUAUUGUUCGUUAGGGCUCAGACAUCGUCUAGCACCGUUUGAUUAGAGUAUUGGGGUGCGGGAGUGCCGGAAUUGGAUUACUCCGGCAAAGCGCCGCCGCUGUGGCUCUGCGCCACCGUGCGGGAGGUCCGGUGGGUGGGAUGAAGGUGCCGGGUUUCGCGUGGAUCGUCGAUCUCACAAGCAACAGUUAGGAUUAGAUUAUGCGUAACGGUUCGACCCGAGCGAUCUGAUGCGUCCAAACGCAAUCGGGCGGCCGAGAUCGUGGUUGGGUACCCAGUCGUCCGAUGAAUUAUAUACCGUUGAUCUUGGAUCGAUCGGUCACAUGGCAUGCGUCGAUAUUUAAAAUCCCUACCGUUAGAUUGGAAGUUAAUGGAUAGGAUUAGAUCGCGCGUGCGUCUGCGUCUCAUUAAAAUCCGACCGCACGAUCUGAUUUGGGUGGUCCAUAUUGAAUGAUACCCCUUCGUGGGUACAUUUUACUAAAGAGGCCUCAGAGUCUUGGUUAUUUAACCCGCCGUCAACCCUAGGGCUAGGAUGAGUCUGUGGAUUACUUCUGAUUUUGCCCCUGUGCUUUUCUGUAUUUGAGGCAUAGUCCAGGAAUUAAAUAAAACAGGAAAAAUAGAUUUAGAAAUUGAUUUUGAGUAUAAAAAUAGUUGUAAAACUUGUAUAAUUCAUAUUUUAUUCAUGUUAACUCCAAAUUAGUUCAUUCAAAUUUCUAUAAUUCUAUAAUAUUAUUGUGUAUCGCCUAGUGCCUAUGUUUUGACAUAAAAUCCACUUUAAAAUUUAUAUCCUAAUUAAUCUUGUAUCAAACACAUAAAACCCUAGUAAAUUCAUAACUUCUCCGUUCUAACUCCGAUUUGAUCCGUUCAAGUUGCGUUAGUCUCGUAGCAAUGCGUAGAUCAUUAUUAUCCAGUAUAUUUUAUGUUUGGUGUGAUGUUAGUUUUGUCUAUACACUAUUUGUUUGUAUUGCUACGACUAGCGGUGGGGUUACGAGGAUUUGAAGAAUCACCCUGGUAACUGGAAUCUCAAGUGCCAGGCAAGUUGUGCCCUUGACCACUUUUUACCCAAUAAUGUUUUUAAUAUCAUUUAUUCAUGCAUAGGUUAAUUUUGAUGAGACCCAAUAGGUUACCCUAGAUUGUUUAUCUCAUUACCUUGUUUACCCCUGAAUCACUUGGGUAGUUUGCUAUUGCUUUACAUGGAUUUGGGAUCAUUAUUUAUCAUAUCUAUGUUCCAGUUAUUUUGUUAUUCUAUUUAUGUUCAUGUCAAGGUCAUUAAUGUUAAUUGGAACAUAGAGCUUAACUUGAGAAACACGUGCCACCACAAGGGUUUAUGGACGCCCUUGGCUGAUUAAUUAGGAAAGCUAGCGGAAGACUACCUUACCCGAAAGGGGCAAGGGCAGUAGGGGAGUUGCAUGCAAGGAGGUUCUCGGGUUGAUUUUGCUGAGAUGGCGGUCAGACGGGGGAUUCUUGCAAGUGCGCUUCUCAUAAACUGUAGCGGGUUUUCGGAAGCUAGUGGAACUUUGUAAAGGCCUCGUAGUGGAUCCCUAGCCAUUCACCUCGGUAGUGUCUAAGGGUCUAGCUAACCCUGGCGACAUAGGAUACACGACUUUUGGGUAAAGGGUACAACCUCUGCAGAGUGUAAAACUGGUAUACUAGCCGAGCUCAUGGUCAUGAGCAGCUCAGGACUCUCUGAUGAUUAAUUUAUGGAACUAAAUUCAAUUUGUCAUAUGCAUUGCAUCGCAGGUGAUGUUGUUACUUUUGUUCUACUACUUAAUUGGGUUGGUAUUUACUUAUACUUAGUAAUUGCUAAUAAAAUUUUGACCAACUUUAAAAGCAAUGCUCAGCUCUAACCAUCCUCUUUGGUAAGCCUUACACUUCACGUGAGCUCCCACCUUUGGCGAGUUCAUGCACAUUAUUCCCCACAACUUGUUGAGCGAUGAACGUAUGUGAGCUCACUCUUGCUGUCUCACACCCCCCCACAGGUCAAGAACAGGUACCGCAGGAUGAGGCGCAUGGAGGAUGCUGCGAUGAGUUCGUGAGAGAUCUAGGUCGUCGUCUCCCAGUCAACUUUGGGUUGCUGGACCGUUGUCUCCAUAUAAUGUAAUUAUUUAUUUAUUUUGUACAAAACUCCGAUUAUAUAGUAAAGAUGUGACAUUCGAUCCUGUGCCAUGAUUCAUCAUAUGUGUGAGACUUGGUCCCAGCACACCUGGUGAUUAUGUUCGCGCCCGGGUCUUGGUGCCCCCGAAACCCGGGUGUGACAGAAGUGGUCUCAGAGGAAUGUUGACUAUAGGAUGAAACCUAGAUAGAACUGGACAACCAUUAUCUACUUACCUUUGCUACUCUGAUUCUUUUCUAAACUUCUCUUAAUCUUUUCUCAUCUAUUUCUGCUUUACUUUGAUUAUUCUUACCUUUUCACUUCUAAAGACAAACUUGGAUUUCGCACUUUGAAAUCUUGUGGUUAAAGUGACUUUUUUGAAUAGGAGACCUACUCUUAGGAAUAAAAAUAAAACUAUUUUUAUAGAUAUCUUUGAAUUUGAAUGUUUUGUUCUUAUGAUACUUGUCUGAUUUGGAUCUUUGAUUAAGUGUGAUGAGUUGUGGAGUAAUGUCCACAAUUACAUCUGCAUAUACAUAUAGAAAAAAAUCUUAUAAAAAUAACUAGACAAACUAGAUUAUCCCUCAUUAAAGUAUCUAGCCUAACAAUAUCCAUCUCAUCUUAAAAUAUUCUAUCCUACACUCAUAGAUCCAUCUUAUCCUAAAAAAUACUCAUCUUAUCUUGAAAAGGGUCUUAUGACAUCCUAAUAGAUCUAACUGACCUCAAAAGAUUCUACCUUGUCCUUAUGGAUUCAUCUUACCCUAAUAAGCAUAUUUACCCCACACUAGUAACAACCAGGAUCUAAUCCAAAAUAAUGAGAUCUUAACUAGUCUAAUCUAGUCAUAUCCAAUCUAAUCUCGAUCCUAUCUAAUCUUAUAUGAUCUAAUUUAGUGUGAGUUACUUAAUGCUGGUACAAAGGAUAAGGCCAUACUUCUAAUCACUUACGCCUAACUUGGUGACUUAGAUCAACUCGGCCAUACCCAACAACUUGACCUACAUGAUAGGUUACAUAACCUAUCCCACCCGUCUAGAAGCAAACGACCAAACCAGAUUCUGACUAACCUCAUUAAACUCAUAGCCAUCUACUAAACCAACUGCUCUACCUACGUGUUACAUACAGAUCUAUCUUAACCAAGACACCAAUACGAAGAAGAUCAACCUCAUCAAGGAAAGGAUAAGAGUCACCGUCAAGGAAGGUAAUCGUCAAGGAUAAAAGUCAAACCAGAUCUCUAGAUGCAUCAAGAUCCACCAUCUGGGAUAGAAAUUUUUCUUGCCUAACCUUCUCUUAUCCUAAGCUUUUCUAAAUCUUACUUAUUAGGUAAAACAUAAUAUGUGCAUGUUUUCUAGCCACACUUGCUAAUGAAGAGAAACUUUUGGGAGCAUUAAAACUAAUUGAAAACAAAAAGUUUUAAAAAAACUUUCUAUAUCCCUUUCUUGCAAAUCUCGGGGACGAGAUUAUUUUUAAGGGGGUAGGAUUUGUAAUACCCACUUUGUAAAAAAACUAAAGGGAGAGAUUAUAUUCCUUUAUAUGUAUGUGUGUUAUCCCUAUUUAUCAUUUCAUGUGGACACCUCACCUAUACAAAUAAAUAAUUAACAAAAGACACUCAAAUAAACUAUGCAUCAUGCUCGGUUUUACUUGAUUGCACAUUUGUGGACAAUAAAAAUAAAUGUGUCAUUACUAAGAUAUUAAUGGAUACAUAGAAUUUAACUUCUACAUUUGAAAACAAAACUCUAAAGUAAAGAAGAGGAAUGGAAAAUCUUAAUUAUAAUGUGCAAGAAAAAUUUUAUAUGUAGAUAUCUCUAUCCUUACUAGGGUCUUGGAAUUAAACUUAAAUUUAGGAAUGAAUUCCCAACCAAAUUUGGGUUUGAACUUGAAUUCCAAAAAUGUGAGAAAAAGGAACCAGAAAAGGAAAAUAAAAAUAAAAUAGAAGUGAAAAUGGCCGUGUGGGCCAAAUUCGAUGCGGCCGGCCCAUAUACACAACAUCCCCGCCCGGCCGUUCCGCAACUCGGCGCCGACAUCAUGGCCCACCGGGCAGUGGCACCCUCGCGUCCAAGCGUCGCGUCGUGUGCACCAGUGUGGGUCGCAGACAUGUGGACCCCCAACCACUGUGGAUCUUCCCACGCGUGGGCGGAUUCCGUCGUCGCUCUCUGUAACAAGCUCCGCCGUAUGCAGCUGGGAUUCCGUCGAGUCCGUUGCUAGCCCCUAUAAAACCCAGCCGCUCCCGCCUCAGCUACCUCCCCAUGGCGAAAUCCCUCCGAUGGCUGGACUCGUCCGUCGCGCCCCUGUUCCUCAGCCUGGCUCUGCAGUCACUGCGCCGCCGCUGAGGAUGGCACCACGACUGUUGUCGUCUUCGCUAGAUCCCUUCACCACCUCGCGUCGCGCGCUGUUGAUCCUCCACGGCCGCACCUGGGAGACCUCGGCUGCGGUCAAUUGCUCGACUCAUCCUCCGAUACCGCCAUGAACCCAGUCGCGCCGCUGCCAUGGCGCUCGGCACCUGUUGUCCCUACUGCUCAUCCUUGGCGGCUGAACGGGUGAACCACCCACCCAUUUCUGCCGCCCUCGAUGGGCCAUCCGGUUGCAUCUACGCGCGGGCUCUCCCUCAACACUCUAGUGCCCGAGCUCCUUCCCCAGCGGCCUCCGCUCAGCGCGCCCCUUCUCUGCUCCCUCUGCGCGUGGACCCGGGGCGUCAGACCCGCCCCCUUCCUUCGCCCGCGCGACCCGGGCGAGCUCCAUCCUUGCGCGAUCCUCGGAAUCGGUUGACAACUGACCCCCGCGCGACCGCACGAGAUUACCCUGGGGCUCUGCGUCCUCUUUGCAUCGAUCCCCCUCCAAUAGAACGCUGCACGUCCAUCUCCGCACAAACCGGUAGUGCGCGUAACAGACGUCGUUCUCACCGGAGCUGCGGCGGACCACUUCCCCCCGAAAUGAGCGGCGUAGGACCCGACGCCUCACCCCCUGCCUCUCGUUAAAGCAGCGCCAAAUUUCUCUAUCGCAGAGCCAGCCCCAUACCCAUCCUUCUCGCCGUGCGGCCGAGCGAGGUGCUCGCCGGUGCUCCACCGAAAUUGUUGAGCUCGUGCCUUGGCAAGUCUCUCGGAGUAUCGCCUGGAGGCCGGGGAUCGUUCUAGGGGAUGUGCGCGCACGACUGAGGCCUCACCAUCACUGGAAUCGCUCACCGGAACUGUUCGCCCGCUCUCCACCGUGGCCAGCCGCGGUCAUCGCUUCAAUCACCGGUAUGUCAACUCCUUAUUGUUCGUUAGGGCCCAGACAUUGUCUAGCACCGUUUGAUUUGAGUAUUGGGGUGUGGGAGUGCCAGAAUUGGAUUACUUUGGCAAAGCGCCGCCGCUGUGGCUCUGCGCCACCGUGCGGGAGGUCCGGUGGGUGGGAUGAAGGUGCCGGGUUUCGCGUGGAUCGACGAUCUCACAAGCAACGGUUAGGAUUAGAUUAUGCGUAACGGUUCGACCCAAGCGAUCUGAUGCGUCCAAACGCAAUCGGGCGGCCGAGAUCGUGGUUGGGUACCCAGUCGUCCGAUGAAUUAUAUACCGUUGAUCUUGGAUCGAUCGGUCACAUGGCAUGCGUCGAUAUUUAAAAUCCCUACCGUUAGAUUGGAAGUUAAUGGAUAGGAUUAGAUCGCGCGUGCGUCUGCGUCUCAUUAAAAUCCGACCGCACGAUCUGAUCUGGGUGGUCCAUAUUGAACGAUACCCUUCGUGGGUACAUUUUACUAAAGAGCCCUCGGAGUCUUGGUUAUUUAACUCGCCGUCCACCCUAGGGUAGGAUGAGUCUGUGGAUUACUUCUGAUUUUGCCCCUGUGCUUUCCUGUAUCUGAGGCGCAGUCCAGGAAUUAAAUAAAACAGGAAAAAUAGAUUUAGAAAUUGAUUUUGAGUAUAAAAAUAGUUGUAAAACUUGUAUAAUUCAUAUUUUAUUCAUGUUAACUCCAAAUUAGUUCAUUUAAAUUUCUAUAAUUCUAUAAUAUUAUUGUUUAUCGCCUAGCGCCUAUGUUUUGACAUAAAAUCCACUUUAAAAUUUAUAUCCUAAUUAAUCUUGUAUCAAACACAUAAAACCCUAGUAAAUUCAUAACUUCUCCGUUCUAACUCCGAUUUGAUCCGUUCAAGUUGCGUUAGUCUCGUAGCAAUGCGUAGAUCAUUAUUAUGCAGUAUAUUUUAUGUUUGGUGUGAUGUUAAUUUUGUCUAUACACUAUUUGUUUGUAUUGCUACGACUAGCGGUGGGGUUACGAGGAUUUAAAGAAUCACCGUGGUAACUGGAAUCUCAAGUGCCAAACAAGUUGUGCCCUUGACCACUUUUUACCCAAUAAUGUUCUUUAAUAUCAUUUAUUCAUGCAUAGGUUAAUUUUGAUGAGUCCCAAUAGGUUACCCUAGAUUUUUUAUCUCAUUACCUUGUUUACCCCUGAAUCACUUGGGUAGUUUGCUAUUGCUUUACAUGGAUUUGGGACAAUUAUUUAUCAUAUCUAUGUUCCAGUUAUUUUGUUAUUCUAUUUAUGUUCAUGUCAAGAUCAUUAAUGUUAAUUGGAACAUAGAGCUUAACUUGAGAAACAUGUGCCACCACAAGGGUUUAUGGACGCCCUUGACUGAUUAAUUAGGAAAGCUAGCGGAAGACUACCUUACCCGAAAGGGGCAAGGGCAGUAGGAGAGUUGCAUGCAAGGAGGUCUCGGGUUGAUUUUGCUGCGAUGGCGGUCAGAUGGGGGAUUCUUGCAAGUGCGCUUCUCAUAAACUGUAGCGGGUUUUCGGAAGCUAGUGGAACUUUGUAAAGGCCUCGUAGUGGAUCCCUAGCCAUUCACCUCGGUAGUGUCUAAGGGUCUAGCUAACCCUGGCGACAUGGGAUACACGACUUGUGGGUAAAGGGUACAACCUCUGCAGAGUGUAAAACUGGUAUACUAGCCGAGCUCACGGUCAUGAGCAGCUCAGGACUCUCUGAUGAUUAAUUUAUGGAACUAAAUUCAAUUUGUCAUAUGCAUUGCAUCGCAGGUGAUGUUGUUACUUUUGUUCUACUACUUAAUUGGGUUGGUAUUUACUUAUACUUAGUAAUUGCUAAUAAAAUUUUGACCAACUUUAAAAGCAAUGCUCAGCUCUAACCAUCCUCUUUGGUAAGCCUUACACUUCACGUGAGCUCCCACCUUUGGCGAGUUCAUGCACAUUAUUCCCCACAACUUGUUGAGCGAUGAACGUAUGUGAGCUCACUCUUGCUGUCUCACACCCCCCCACAGGUCAAGAACAGGUACCGCAGGAUGAGGCGCAUGGAGGAUGCUGUGAUGAGUUCGUGAGAGAUCUAGGCCGUCGUCUCCCAGUCAACUUUGGGUUGCUGGACCGUUGUCUCCAUAUAAUGUAAUUACUUAUUUAUUUUGUACAAAACUCCGAUUAUAUAGUAAAGAUGUGACAUUCGAUCCUGUGCCAUGAUUCAUCAUAUGUGUGAGACUUGGUCCCAGCACACCUGGUGAUUAUGUUCGCGCCCGGGUCUUGGUGCCCCCGAAACCCGGGUGUGACAGUACGCCUUUCAAGUCCUUGAUGGGCCCCAUGUUGGUGAUGGCCGCGAUUUUCUCUGGGUUGGCCUCGAUGCCCCGCUCGGAGACGUUGAACCCCAAGAGCAUGCCUCGGGGGACUCCGAAGACGCACUUCUCGGGAUUGAGUUUUACGCCUUUCGCCUUGAGACACCUGAAUGUUGUUUCAAGGUCAGAGAGGUGGUCGGAGGCUUUCCUCGUCUUGACUACGAUGUCAUCGACGUAAGCCUCGACCGUUCUACCAACGUGCUCUCCGAACACGUGGUUCAUGCAUCUUUGGUACGUCACACCCGCAUUCCUCAAACCAAAUGGCAUAGUAACGUAGCAGUACAUGCCAAAGGGCGUGAUGAAAGAAGUCGCGAGCUAGUUGGACUCUUUCAUCCUGAUUUGGUGAUACCCUGAGUAGGCAUCGAGGAAAGACAAGGUUUCGCACCCAGCAGUGGAAUCCACGAUUUGAUCGAUGCGAGGCAGAGGGUAGGGAACCUUCGGACAUGCUUUGUUUAGACUAGUGUAGUCUACACACAUCCGCCAUUUCCCUCCUUUCUUUCUCACAAGCACAGGGUUGGCAAGCCAUUCGGGAUGGAAUACCUCUUUGAUGAACCCUGCGGCCAUCAGCUUGUGGAUCUCCUCGCCCAUGGCUCUGCGCUUUUCUUCGUCGAAUCGGCGCAGAGGCUGCUUCACGGGUCGGGCUCCAGCUCGGAUAUCCAGCGAGUGCUCGACGACAUCCCUCGGUAUGCCAGGCAUGUCCGAGGGACUCCACGCAAAGACUUCGGCGUUCGCGCGGAGAAAGUCGACGAGCACUGCUUCCUAUUUGGGGUCGAGCUCGGAGCCGAUCUGGAUCUGCUUGGAGGCGUCGUUGCUGGGGUCGAGAGGGACGGACUUAACCGUCUCUGCUGGCUCGAAGUUGCCGGCGUGGCGCUUCGCAUCUGGCGCCUCCUUGGAGAGACUCUCCAGGUCGUCGAUGAGGGCCUCAGAUUCGGCGAGGGCCUCGGCGUACUCCACGCACUCCACGUCGCAUUCGUACGCGUGUCGUUACGUGGGGCCGACGGUGAUGACCCCCCGUUGGGGCCCGGCAUUUUGAGCUUGAGGUAGGUGUAGUUGGGGACGGCCAUGAACUUGGCGUAGCAUGACCUCCCCAGUACUGCGUGGUAGGUUCCUCGGAACCCGACCACCUCGAACGUGAGGGUUUCCCUUCGGAAGUUGGAGGGAGUCCCAAAGCAGACGGGCAGAUCGAGUUGUCCGAGGGGUUGGACGCGUUUCCCGGGGAUGAUCCCAUGAAAAGGCACCGCGCCUGUCCAGAUCGAGGACAGAUUGAUCUGCAGGAGUCCGAGGGUCUCGGCGUAGAUGAUGUUGAGGCUGCUGCCUCCGUCCAUGAGGACCUUGGUGAGCCUGACGUUGCCGAUGACGGGGUCGACAACGAGCGGAUAUUUCCCCGGGCUCGGCACGCGGUCGGGGUGGUCGCCCUAGUCGAAGGUGAUGGGCUUGUCGGACCAGUCUAGGUAGACUGGCGCCGCCACCUUUACUGAGCAGACCUCCCGACGCUCUUGCUUGCGGUGCCGAGCCGAGGCAUUCGCCACUUGCCCACCGUAGAUCAUGAAGCAGUCGUGGACCUCGGGGAACUCCUUUGCCUUGUGAUCCUCCUUCUUGUCGUUGUUGUGGGCCCUGCCACCUUCCACAGGUGUCCCGACCUUGUGAAAGUGGUGCCGAAGCAUGACACACUCCUCAAGGGUGUGCUUGACGGGCCCCUGAUGAUAGGGGCACGACUCCUUGAGCAUCUUAUAGAAGAGAUUGGCACCUCCAGGAGGUUUCCGAGGGUUCUUGUACUCAGCGGCGGCGACAAGGUCCGCGUCGGUGGCAUCGCGUUUCGCUUGUGACUUCUUCUUGUUCUUCUUCUUGGUGCCGCGCUGAGCGGACGCCUCGGGGACGUCUUCCGGCUGGCGGCCCUAGGGCUGCUUGUCCUUUCGGAAGAUGGCCUCAACCGCCUCCUGGCCAGAGGCGAACUUGGUGGCGAUGUCCAUCAGCUCGCUCGCCCUGGUGGGGGUCUUGCGACCCAGCUUGCUCACCAGGUCGCGGCAUGUGGUGCCGGCGAGGAACGCGCCGAUGACGUCGGAGUCGGUGACGUUGGGCAGCUCGGUGCGCUGCUUCGAGAAUCGCCGGAUGUAGUCUCGGAGAGACUCUCCCGGCUGCUGGCAGCAGCUUCAGAGAUCCCAGGGCACACGUACAUGCCCUGGAAGUUGCCGACGAAGGCUUGGACCAGGUCGUCCCAAUUGGAGAUCUGCCCCGGAGGCAGAUGCUCCAGCCAGGCUCGAGCGGUGUCGGAGAGGAACAGGGGGAGGUUGCGGAUGAUGAGGUUGUCAUCGUCCGUUCCACCCAGCUGGCAGGCCAGUCGGUAGUCCGCGAGCCACAGUUCCGGCCUCGUCUCCCCCGAGUACUUUGUGAUGGUAGUCAGGGUUCGGAACCGGGUAAGGAACGGCGCCCGUUGUAUGGCCCGGCUGAAAGCCUGCAGACCGGGUGGUUCAGGCGAGGGGCUCCGAUCCUCCCCGCUGUCGUAGCGUCCCCCAUGCCUGGGGUGGUAGCCUCGGCGCACCCUCUCGUCGAGGUGGGCUCGACGGUUGCGGUGGUGGUGCUCGUUGCCGAGGCGACCCGGGGCCGCAGGCGCCGUGUUGCACGUGCGCCCGGUGUGGACCGAGGCUUCCCGCACGAAUCGGGAAGUCGCGGCGCGAUGCUCCGAGGGGUACCCCUGCCUUCGGGAGGCAGAGCUUUCGGCCCGUCGGACCGCGGCAUCCUCCAGGAGAUUCUUGAGCUCUCCCUGGAUACGCCGCCCUUCAGUGGUCUUGCUGCUGCAGUCAGGUUCUGGCUGACCCCACUGGAAGCCGGUGGCGGCCUUGCCCUGACAUUGGGCAUCGCGCGGAGUAGUAUUGCUGCUGCAGCCAGGUUCUGGCUGACCCCACUGGAAGCCGGUGGCGGCCUUGCCCUGACGUCGUCGGCAAUGCAGUGCUGGAUGCCCUAGGGUAGAUGACGUGCUUCUCCGGCCGGAGCUUGGUCUGCCCAUUCCUGGCCGAUGUUCCGCCGGAACUGCUCAAGUGUUCCUGCUCCCUCGUUGAGCCUGGCCUGCAUCUCGCGGAUUUGCUUGAGCUGUGCGUCCUGACCCCCCGCAGGGACUGGGACCACAGCUAGCUCCCGAAGGAUGUCAACGCGAGGCGCGGGCCUAGGGGGAUCGCCGUUUUCCAGCAUACCAAGAUGGUUGCCUUCGCCGAGACCCCCUAGAUCGACGUGGAAACAUUUACGACUUGGGCCGCAGUCUUCGUCGCCGAAGCUGCGGCUACCAUCGGAACAAUCGGAGAGGCAGUAGUCGCACGCGGUCAUGAAGUCCCGCAUGGCACUGGGGUUACCGAGCCCGGAGAAAUCCCAACAAAAGUCGGGCUCGUCAUCUUCCUCGGAACCCGAGGGUCCGUAGGUCGAGACAGCCGUCAGUCUGUCCCAGGGCGACCACAUAUGAUACCCUGGAGGGUUGGUACAUGCCUCUAUGAAAGCUUCCACCGAAGCGAGGUCGCUUGGUGGGUCGAAGCUGAAUCCAAAAGGCACGAGAUGGGAAUCGGUCAGUACCUCUUGGUCGACAGGCGGCGGCGAAGUCGCGUCAGGGGCGGACUGCACCGUUGUCUCAGGUACGAGGGCGACGCCCAGCAAGUCCUUCGCGAGCGUGCUGGCGUCGUUCGUCUGCUUGGGGUUGGCGUGUUGCGGGGAAACGACGCUCGUCUUCGUCUCAGACGCAAGGUCGAAGCCCGACGUGUCCCCCGCUGGGGCGCCGGCGUCGUCGACUUGCUUGACAGCCGACGAGGUGCCGCCUCCUGCCUGCCCAUGGUUGCCCCGCCUCCUCCUCCGUCGGUGGGGGAGGUGACAGGACAAACCCGGAUGUUGUUCUUCCGCCAUGUGGGGAAGACGUCGUUGACUCCGCCGCCGGCGGGCUAGCUGACGGCCGCCAUUGUCGCUGUCGCGCGGCGGAGGAAGGAAUAUCAUGUCGUAGCUGCCAUCGAGGGACAUGAACUCAAGACUCCCGAAACGGAGCAUCGUCCCGGGUUGGAAAGGUUGCUGGAGACUACCCAUCUGGAGCUUGACGGGAAGCUGUUCGUCAACACGCAACAGGCCCCUACCUGGCGCGCCAACUGUCGGCAUUUCGACCCCAGGGGGUCCCUGGACCGACGAGUAAAUUGUCGCUGCGUGUCCCAGCCCAGAUGGGUCAGCACGAGACGGGACAUAAAGGGGGGAGAACAGUAAGGGGAAAUCGCGACCUUCGUGUUGUCCUGCGCCCAGGACGGAUGUAUGCGCUUGAAGUAGGGGGUUACAAGCGUUCGCGUGGGAGAGAGAGAAAGCGAGAGCCUUAUGCGUCGGCCCAUUCUCCCGCGUGGCCAACCUUCUCGUACGAGAGCCCUGGACCUUCCUUUUAUAGGCGUAAGGAGAGGGUCCAGGUGUACAAUGGGGGUGUAGCAAUGUGCUAACGUGUCUAGCAGAGAGGAGCUAGAGCCCUAAGUACAUGCUGUCGUGGCAGUCGGAGAGGUUUUGGCACCCUGUUCAUGUGAUGUCGUGGUCGUCGGAGGAGCGCUUGGGCCCUGUGGAAGGACAGCUGUCGGGGCUGUCGAAUCCUUGCUAACGUCUCCUUACUUCCGUAAGGGGCUGAGAGUCACCGUCGUCAUGGAGCACGCGGGGCGCCAUCAUUAUUUGUUUACCGGGGCAAGCCAGAUGGGACGCCGGUCUUGUUCCCCGUAGCCUGAGCUAGCUAGGGGUAGGGUAAUGAUGGCCCCCUAUGACGUGGUCGGUCCGAGCCCUAGGUCGGGCGAGGCGGAGGCUCCUCCGAGGUCGAGGUCGAGUCCGUCUUCCGAGGUCGAGGCUGAGUCCGAGCCCUGGGGUCGAGCGAGGCGGAGUCCGUCUUCCGAGGUCGAGGUUGAGUCUGAGCCCUGGGUCGGGCGAGGCGGAGACCGUCUUCCGAGGUCGAGGUUGAGUCCGAGCCCUGGGUUGGGCGAGGCGGAGACCGUCUUCUGAGGCCGAGGCUGUGUCCGAGCCCUGGGGUCGGGCGAGGCAGAGUCCGUCGUCCAGCGUCGAGGUUGAGCCCGAGCCCUGGGGUCGGGCGAGGCGGAGCUUCCUAUGGCGCCCGAGGCUGGACUUAGCUGCUGUCAGCCUCACUCUGUCGAGUGGCACAGCAGUCGGAGCGACGCAGGCGGCGCUGUUUUCUUGUCAGGUCGGUCAGUGGAGCGGCGAAGUGACUGCGGUAACUUCGGCUCUGUCGACUGAAGAGCGCGCGUCAGGAUAAGGUGUCAGGCGAUCCUUGCAUUAAAUGCUCCUGCGAUACGGUCGGUUGGCGUGGCGAUCUGGCCAAGGUUGCUUCUCUGCGAAGACUGGGCCUCGGGCGAGCCGAAGGUGUGUCCGUUGCUUGAGGGGGCCCUCGGGCGAGACGUGAAUCCUCCGGGGUCGGUUGUCUUUGCCCGAGGCUGGGCUCGGGCGAGGCGAGAUCGUGUCCCUUGAGUGGACUGAGCCUUGACCUUAAUCGCGCUCAUCAGGCCUUUGCAGCUUUGUGCUGAUGGGGUUACCAGCUGAGAUUAGGAGUCUUGGGGGUACCCCUAAUUAUGGUCCCCGACAUGUAGACGUUGUGUACAACACAGAAAGGUAAACAGUGCAGCUAGAACUUCAAAUCACUACCGGAAUCCGAGGCUUUGCCGAGUGCCUUUUGUCGGGCACUCGGCAAAGACAGCUUUGCCGAGAGCCACACUCAGUAAAGUUAAGCUCUCGGCAACGAGCCUCUUUAUCGAGUGCUGGACACUCGGCACAGGACCCCACUCGGCAAAGACACAUUUGCCGAGUGUUUAACACUCGGCAAAGGCAGCGCUCGGCAAAGGGCCGUCAGCGGCCGUCCCCGAGCUGACGGCCGUCAGUUUUUGCCGAGAGCCGUGGGUUGACACUCGGCAAAGAGUCUUCUUUGCCGAGUGUCUUCUCUAGACACUCAGCAAAGUAUAUUUUUGUUUUUUUAUUUUGUCUCCCAAACUUUUUGUGGUAUGUUCCUACACUAUGUAGACCUACAUGUAUCAUUUGUGGACAAUUAUCACUAUGUUUGCAAUAUCUAGUAGAUUUAGUUCGUUUAUUUGAAUUUCUUCGGAAAUUCAUAUUUGAACUGUAGGUCACUCGAAACUUGGAAAACCGUGCAUGCAAAAAUGAUAUUCAUGUUACUUACCAUAAGUUACGGCAGAUUCCAGGAGCGUACCGGAAACUUCGAGCAACAUGCUCACUAAACAUGGCCGUGAACUUGCCAUCCACAUGUUUAAAAAUUGUAUAAAACACAAACAAAGUCAGAAAAUCAUGAAACUUGUCCACUUGUCAUGAUAUCAUAUGUACAGACUAUGAUAAAAAUUUUAGAAUGUUUGGAGAAAGUUGUGAGACACAAUAUGUAGAAACCUAAGAGAUCUACAUUGAAACUCUAUGAUUUCAUGUGUAGUUCUCUUAGGUUUCUACACAUUGUGUCUUACAACUUUCUCUAAACAUUCUACAAUUUUUAUCAUAGCCUGUACAUAUGAUAUCAUGAUACGUGGACAAGUUUCAUGAUUUUCUGACUUUGUUUGUAUUCUAUACAAUUUUUAAACAUGUGGAUGGCAAGUUCAUGGCCAUGUUUAGUGAGCAUGUUGCUCGAAGUUUCCGGUACGCUCCUGGAAUCGGUCGUAACUUAUGGUAAGUAACAUGAAUAUCAUUUUUGCAUGCACGGUUUUCCAAGUUUCGAGUGACCUACAGUUCAAAUAUGAAUUUUCCGAAGAAAUUCAAAUAAACGAACUAAAUCUACUAGAUAUUGCAAACACAGUUAUAAUUGUCCACAAAUGAUACAUGUAGGUCUACAUAGUGUAGGAACAUACCACAAAAAGUUUGGGAGACAAAAUAAAAAAAUACAAAUGUACUUUGCCGAGUGUCACUUGGUGACACUCGGUAAAGUAUACUUUGCCGAGUGCCGCCCAGGUAGGCACUCAGCAAAGAAGUGUAAAGUAUACUUUGCCGAGUGUCGCCGAUCUGACACUCGGCAAAGCUUAUUUAAAAAAAAUCUUUGCCGAGUGCCAGAUCGCGGGCACUCGGCAAAGAAGUAAAAUAUACUUCGCGCCCGGGUUCUUUCUUCUUCUUUCUCUCCUCUCACUCUCUCUGUUUAACCGCCGCCGCCUAAUUCGCCGCGCCGCCGCCGCCACGCCGCCGCCGAUGUGCCGCCCGCCCGCCCGCGCAAGCCGCGCCCGCCGCGCGCCGCCGGCUCGCCGUGCCACCGCGAGCGCCGCUCGCCGCGCCGCCCCACCGUCGUCCUGCCGUACGCCACCGUCUCCCCCACCCGUCACCGUCUUAAGGUAUAAUUUUUUUUAAAUUAUGUAUUAAUUUUUAUAUUAAUGUAUUUAUGUUUUAUAGAUUAAUGUAUUGAUGUUUUAAAUAUUAUGUAUUUCAUAAACACAUGUUUAUAUUAUGUUUUAUCCUAUCCACCACGCCGUCACCGACCCUCACACAACACACUCCCACAACACACUAUCACAUUCUAUCCAUCACGCCGUCACCGACCCUCACCACGCCACUCGCACAACACACUCCCCAUCCUAUCCACCACCGCACCGACCUUCACCACACCAACGUCUACAAUUCCUCGUCGUCGUGCCAUUGAUUUGAAUAUAUAUAUAUAUAUAUAUAUAUAUAUAUAUAUAUAUAUAUAUAUAUAUAUAUAUAUAUGAUUGCCGGCCAUCGUGCCGUUGAAUUAUUAGUGGAAGACAGCCAUCGUGCUGAUACUUUUAUUUGCAGGAUUUCGAAACCUCCCCGUGCAGGGGAGGUGCUGCCGAAAUUUUCGGUUGCUAGGCUUCUGUUAGAGGAUGGAGAACCGUGAGUGGAUGUACACGGGCCGUAGAGGAAGAAACAAUGUCACCACUGAAUGGAUUAGAUAGACCGAUGAUUUCGUGGAACAGGCAUAUGGCGAAGCUGCUAAAGGAGCGAGUCUAGUCCCAUGCCCGUGCAGCAAAUGUGCCAACCGGAAAAGAAAACCAAAGAAGGCCAUGGUAGAACAUAUUUGGAAGAAUGGAUUUACGUCGGGCUAUACUCGGUGGAUAUUUCAUGGUGAAGCGCAUCAUACGAGAGAGGAGGUGUUGAGACAACGUGUCGAGGAUUAUGACGCGGAUGCGGGGGUAGCAGAUAUAUUGAACGACUAUCAGGAGGCAGAGUACACGGGAGGAUGUAUGGAUGACGAGCCAGAGCCGACUGCAAAGGCAUUCUACGACAUGUUCGACGCGGCACAGAAGCCCCUUCACAGCCAGACAAAGGUUUCUCAACAGAAGCCCCCUCAAGUGACGAGACAGACACAUUCUAAUCUUGGGAUAGUCGAAAUUCGACAAGAUUCCACCUUAGCAGGAGACGAUGUCUAUAUCGUGGCCCAACAGGCCACACAAGUGUAUUAUCUCCCAUAUGCGUGUCAAACGAAAGAACAUCUUAAGGGUUGGGAUGUUGUGUAUAAGGUAUCGCCGCACGGGAGGUUACCUGUUUCUAACGAUGAAGAUUACAACUUAGACCCGGACACAUAUGAUGGAGAGUUCUUCCAAGAAGAUGGGCUAGAAGGGCGAUUUGAGAUAGACUUAACUGAAGCUAUCGGAAUGGACGUAGAUAUUGAAAUGGUUGUUGAUGAGGAGGAGGAUGAGGUGCAAAAUGAUAAUGACUUAGUAAUCCUUGAAGGCAAUGACAUUAAUGACGAGGUUGCGUCUUCCGAUGGUGUUGAGAUUGAAAUGCUUGAUAGUGAUGAUGAGAGUUAUGAUCCGGCUAACCCCGACACAUAUGAAGAUUAUUUUUAAUCGAUGUAAUGCUAUAUGACUUUUUAUUUCACACCUAUUUUUAAAUACAUCUUUUUUAUAUGUGCUUAUUUGUUUACUCUUAAUUGCAGGUUGUUGGACAAAUAUGGUGGGUGGUUGGCUGAGUAGGAGGAGGGGGAGGAGGCGUAGGACGGCGGACGAGGCAGAGCAGGCAGCGCAGCCUGACGAGGCAGAGCAGGCAGCACAGCAGCAGGCGGCGCCUCAGGACGACGACAACCAGCAGCAGGACGACGACGACCAGCAGCAGGACACCUCAGGUUCAGGCGGCUCUAGUUCGAGGAGCAUCUACCUGCGAGGCCUCGCGAGUCUCCCUCAGCGUCCCAUACUUCGGGACAGGCGGCCGCUGAUUCGGCCGGAAGGGGAGAGGUAUGUAACUUUAUGUUCUUCAUUCUUGUUCAUAUUAUGUGUUCAAAAUCAUAAUAUAAACUAAUACUUUUUAUUUAUCACUUGGACAGGUCUUGGACGGUUUUGGAUUAUGCUGGGGGUCAUCGUCGCCCCCCCAAUGGCAUCCUUGGUCUGAUGUGCAGGGAACACUUCCCUGGACUUGUGGAGUACGCCGGAGUGACGGGCCCAGCCUUCACCUUCGACCUCUACGCCAUCGCCCCCGAUGCAGUAGACCGGGACGGCAAGGAAUUCAAUAACAAGGCGGAGCGGGUGAAGCAAGAGCUGUGGGUAAGUCUGAGUAUAAUGUAAAAUAUGUCGCAUUCGUUGCAAGUUCUUGAAAUAAUGUAUGGAUACAUCGUUUUUGUAUGCAGGAUUUCUUCAGAUGCGAUGCUGGAUAUGAAGCUAGGGCGGAUGUGGUGGCCACCACGAGCUGUAAGAAGCUCAUCGUGGACAUGCACUAUGAGACCCGCAUCCAGGCCAUCAUCACCUACCACGGCUCCGUCCUUGGGGAGAGGGUGACCAAACCUCAAGCCCGAACCAUGUCGUUGACCAGGGAGCAGUACCUGCAGGUAAAGUCAUGCAUGUUUGGUACCAGUACUCCAUGCAUGAAUUUUAUUUUAUCUUCUGAUAUGCACUUUACGUGUAUACUUUGUAGAUGAUUCCACAUUGGUGCGCCGCACAUCCUCUGUGCUGGGAGCAGAUGGUGGAUAGGUGGUGUUCGGCUGAGUGGGACGAGGCGCACACCGCUAGCCGGGAACGGCGUUUGAUGAUGCAAGGCCCCUCCCACCACCAAGGCAGCCGGAGCCUGGGCCAAUAUGCCGAAGCAUGGGUACGCCAUCGUUUUUAUUUAGAUAUAUAGCACUGAGUUAGAUAUUAUUUCUAACUAUCUCGUUGGUUUUCGUUGCAGUCGGCGUCACAUGGUGGCCGGCCUUGCUCCACCUUCUCGGCCUAUGCUAUGGCCCAUAAGGGUAAGGCGACGCCCGACGUCACCUACAACCCGGAUGACGGGACCGAGGCCUACACCAACCCCGCCAUCUACAACCGCCUCCAUGACAACACCGCCAUGGCGCAGGAGGUCCAUGGCCCAGACUAUGAUCCGAGCACCGAGCCGAUCGACCCCGAUGUGCUCAUGAGGGUCGGAGGAGGCAAGAGACAUGGGCGGUACUAGAUUGCCGAUGGGGCAAUCGACUCGUCCUCCACUCCCACUCUGUCUCAGGUGAGAGCAAGGAGCACGGGCUCGAGUCUAGCCAUACGACCUCGGCACGACAGCUCACAGCAUCGCAUAUAGCAACUCGAGGUUAGUGCUUCUGUAACUCGUCCUUUCUUGAGUUAUAUACCUUCUCUUUGAGUUACUAUAACGUUGGCUUGUAAUAUUACAGACCCAACUAGAAGAAGAGAGGAGGGAACAUCAAGAGAUGGAGGCGAGGAUAAUGGCGGAGCGGGCGACGGCUGAUCAGAGGAUGGCGGAGAUGUUCUAGUACAUGCAAAGUCUUGGCGCCGCACAGGGCAUCGCUCCGCCACCUCCAUUGUUCCCUGCAGUUGACCCUGCUCUCUUCCACACUCCUGUGAGUAUCAAAAUUGUAGUUAGAUGUUUGUAAUGCAUCUGGUAUAACACAUGCAAUCUCUUCUCUGUGCAGGGCCAAUCUGGGGCGGCAUCCAACAACCCUCCGGAAGGGUUCAGCCCAACGCAGCCCCGGUCAAACCGCCCACCUCCAUGAGUGUUGUGUUUUCAUUUUUUUAGACUUCAGAACUUAUGUAUAAUACUUAUGUCUGUGUUUGAUACUUAUGUGAGAGCUUGCGACGUUUGAGACUUAAGUUUGUGUUUGAUACUUGUGUUGAACACUUAUGUUUGUGAUGGAUAUUUAUGUUUGUGGUGACGGUUUUAUGUUUGUGUUGGCUAUUUAUGUCUGUGAUGAUAUAUGUGAUGUAUAUAUGUGAUAUAUAUGUCAUAUCUUCUGUUUGUGUGGAUGGAAUACAAAAACAAAUAAAAAAGGUAUAUACCGGUCACUUUGCCGAGUGUAACACUCGGCAAAGAGGCGCUUUGCCGAGUGUCAGGGUCAUAACACUCGGCAAAGAGCCAAAACCUGGGCACCGGUUUAGGUAUUUUGCCGAGUGUUAUGUCGCUGGCACUCGGCAAAGAGGCAGGCUUUGCCUAGUGCCGCGCAGAGCACUCGGCAAAGAGCCUGACAUGGGGACCCUCCCUGGCGGGUUCUUUGCCGAGUGUCCCAGGUGGGUAGACACUCGGCAAAGGUGACGCCUUUGCCGAGUGUCAUGUUUGACACUCGGCAAAGAAGCCGUCUCCGUUACCUCGUCGCCGUAACGACCACUUUUCUUUGCCGAGUGCUCCCUGGCACUCGGCAAACCUCUUUGCCGAGUGCCCGAGAAAAAGUACUCGGCAAAGAAGGCUUUGCCGAUGUACUAUUUGCCGAGCCUUCUUUGCCGAGUGUUUUUAAGGCUUUGCCGAGUGUUUCGGGCACUCGGCAAAGGGCCCGUUUUCGGUAGUGAAUAGACUAAACCUUCACUAUAUGAUUAAAAUAUCCUACUAUUAUAUUGGAUGCACGAAUACUUCUAAACAUCACAUCCAAACUUCAAUAAACAAAGCAUAUUCCUCACUAUUUUGUAUGUAAAUAUUAUGUGUGCCUUCUUCUAACCUUACCAUCGAUAUCUAUGUAUUGUCAUUAAUAUAACCAUCUAUAAACUCAUCCGUUGCUACAACAGAUUCUCAUGUUAUGCAUUUAAAAUCAUUUGGUUCGGUACGGUGAAAAUAUAUAACAUAAAAAAGUUAAACUUUGAUGUCGGAUUCUCAUGAUAUGCUAUACUUUGACAUCCAGUUGACUUGUAUAUAUACUAGUUAUGUGCCCGUGCGUUGCUACGGAAGUAAAAAAAUUGUAUGAAAUAUAGAUACGAAAAGACAAGCAUCAAUGUGAUAUGCAAAAUAAGUGUGGUAAACAUUAUCAAUAUUGCACAAAUUACUUGUAAAGAGUCAAUAUAGAAUUUUUAAUGAUAGACAAAUAAAGUCGUUGUCAAAAAGCUUAGCAAUUGUCACAUUUAUUCAAGUGAUCUAGGAGUAUAGAAACGAAGACAUUCUGAUCACAGAAACCUAGUCAUACUUUUUGGUUUCUGUAGUCAUGAAGAUGAGAAAUCACUUAACUUGGAGUACUUACCUAACAAAAGCUUACAUUAUGUAUUAAAUAAGUUAGACCAUCAAAAUCACGGUAAACUGCAGCACAAGGUUUUUUUAUUUGCAAAACAAAAAACAUGUAGAUAAAACAAUAAUACACUAAUACUAUCAUUUUCAAUUUUCAAUGUGGAAAUAAUGUUACAGGAUCAUAGGGCCAGCAUGGAUAUGAAGCAAUCUGGUCUUGACUGAAGCUAAAUCCAAUGUAUAUUGGUCUUGACUGAAGUUGAAUCCAUUGUAUUUGUUCAGUAACAGGCUAUAUUUAUCUUAUAAACAUGUCACAGUUGAUCACUAUAUUUAUCUUGAAUAAUCAAGAUGUGAUUAAGCUCUAAUACCAGCAACAACGGCCACAUUUUAGUCUCUUUAAACCGGGUAGAAUCGACCAACAUAAAUGAACAAAGUGCAUAUGUCAAUUGGCCUACUUCUGUACAACAGUGGUGAUGUUGAGUGCCCUCAGGGUGAUCCUAUCCAAUAGCUCUGCCACUCACACCAGGACCCAUCAGUUUUUUAAGAGUGAUCAGCUGCAAUAUUCCAACAGGCAGGAUGAGAAGAAAAACACGAGGAACAAAUAAUUUUCUAGCAAGUGCAUUCAUUUAGAAAUGGUCAAUGAUUAGGUAUAUAGUUGAAACAUCCAGAUUCCUGGUAACAAAGUAGCCGAGUAAUGAAAGGAGCAAAAAUAUUUAUAAGCAUUGUGUACAGUUUGAAACACUUGUACAAUACAGCUAACAAGGGAACCGAGUAAUGAACAUUUACUUUAAAUAGAUUGCUGGUAAUUGAAGGCAUGCUCAGUUGCUCACCACACCUCUGCUCCUUUUGUGGAGCCAAACAGCACAGGAAUUGCAGCAAGCGAAGCCUGUUCAUGGCACCAAAAAAUAUGGGGGCAAGUUAGCACCUUUUUGUGCAUUAAUUUGCAAGAGAAGGCACAAAUUUAUAGUACAAAAAAUUCACACAGAUGUAGAUAUAAAUAAGAAAGCCUAAGAAACAUGAUGAGCAUUUAACUGACAUGAUCACUACUCAUCUUUUAAUUCACGGUGAUCCCUAUUAUUAUAUAUAGACUGAGAUAGCAUUACUCAUAUUUUUCGGAGAGAACAGCCAUGUGGAGUAAGAUGAUUUAUUGUGCAUCCAUGUGGAGUAAGAUGAUUUAUUGUGCAUCCAUGUGGAGUAAGAUGAUUUAUUGUGCAUCCAUGUGGAGCAAGAUGAUUUAUUGUGUGGUGUGAUAUCUGCUCAGAACAAUAAAGAAAAUAUGAGUAGUUGUUCAUCACAAGUUACCUUCAAUUUUGCUGUUCAAGGUAUUGUUCUUCAAGAUCACAUGGGCCUUCUUUCUGCCAGAACCUGUAGAGGGAUUUAUGUUUCGCAAACAAGUUAGAAAAACAUAUUCGUAACUAAUUACACAACUGACCAUUUCUAAUUAAUAGGCAUGAAGAUCACGAAAAGCAAAUCUGAAACAUUCAAGACUAAAGUUGCUAACUGCGCAGAGCAUGUCGGUUGAACAAACAGAAUGGUCCUUGCGGUUUGGGAUGGAGAUCCAAAUUAAUGGCCUGUUAAGUAGAUAUUAUUUAGCAGUACCAAAACUGUAGUAUCAAGUGACAAAAGGCUUUUAUAGACCAAAACAACAUUACCAAACUAUGGAGCUAACUGGUUGUACGGACCAAAGCAACAAUAACCAAAGAAUGAGACAGAGAUAUUUUUUGCAUUCCAUCAUGAGAAGCUAACCAGUUUGAUAUAGUUGUGAAAAUCGCAGUCAGUAACCAGAGAAAUGUAUUCAUCCAACAUAUAUGGCGAUCUGUGCUAUGUGGGUGCAGGGCGAUGCGAUCUUAUGAGUAUGCGUGGUUAGUGACUGGGAUUUUCACAUCUAUAUCAAUUGCUUGCCCCACUAAUGAUUAGCCAGGGUCAGGUAAACCAGAUUGUGUAACCAUUACUGUAACACUGCAAUCAUUUUCUAAAUAAUACUUCUAUAAAUCCCAAACCGAAGGUAUACAUACACAACAAUUAAACACCGGCUUCAUCGCAGUACCAAAACAACAGUACCAAGUGAACAAAAUAGCAGUAAUUUGAUGACUGGUGGUAACUAUGAGAUUGUGAUUGUAACACAAAUAAACACUCCUAUAUUUUUGCAUGUGUCCCAAGAUUGCAACCAGAUUUGUACAAAUAAACAGUAUGCCCCAAAUAAACAGCUAGAAGACCUAUGGUCCUUGGAUGGCCAGCAUCAUGCGGCGGACGGUGGGCGUCAUCCGGAGCAAGAUCUUGCGCCGCACACUCAUCAAUGAUGACGCGCCAGCCCGCCUUUUGAGUACAACCUUGUGCAUGGAUCACUAUCGAGAGAACUGGUUCAUUUUCUAUUCAGCUACAUUGACUCGAUGUUUUUGAUUCAUGGACUGCCAUGGCCCUUGAGGCAUAGAUUCUAUUAGUGAGAGUUGAGACAGAGGGUACAAAUAAAUAGAAGCCAAAAGCACACAAAAUAAGAAACACAUUUUGAACAAAAGCUCAACCAGGAGACUGACGUGCUGAUCGUAUUUACUACUGCCACCAUAGAUUUGUUCAAGACAAUGGGGGAGAGCAUUGUUAACUGUCAAUCUCAAUAAAUCUGUCAUGAGAUACCUAUUGUAAAAUCAAAAUAAUAACCAGCAAUGCCUAGAUUAUCAGCAAUGAAGUCAGGCUUGAUGAUUAUUUUGUGUUCUGCAAUAGCAAGCACUCAUUUAAAGUGUCAGUGCAUAGGAAUCAUAGUGUCUAUGCACCAUAAGGGAAAAAACAUAACACAAACAGAGAAGAUUCAGGCGCCUAAAAGAAAUGAAGACGUGCAAGAACGGUGUACCUGCUUGGCCGUCUUUCCUAGCGAUGCGAAGAACACGCAGCACCUGCUCAUUAGCUAAAAAAUAGGCAAAUGUGAAGAUAGAUGCCAGGGGCUACUGGGGCGGGGCGAUGGCGGCAACAGCACGGCGCGUGCCGCGUGCGGACGAUGGAGGGGCAAUACCGCAGUAGAUGGCCAGAGCAGGCGGGAGCACUUUUUGUGAAGAUAGAUCCCUUGUCAUUUUUGGACUUCCAGCUACCCGUGCCCCUCCAGCCAUCUACUCACCUACUCCAGGCCUCCAGAUGCGACGGAACCAAAUCAGAACGACAUGAACCAAUUCCAAUUCAUCCAUCCAAUCCAGGUGUCGAUGGUGCAUAGGAGUCAGACACGAGAGCGGGCAGCGAGGAGGAGUGUCGUACCUUCACUUAUUGCAGAGCAGGGCAAAGCCUCCAGAUCGCAGUGGCCAACCCUUCCUCCAAUCCCCACCCGCCCCCACCACUAACGGCGGCGGCGCGCCGCAGACCAGAUUCGUGCACCUCUUGGUCGCAGCCGCCGGAGCCAUGGUGGACCUAACACAGGUCCUGCACCCCGCCCCUAGAGUCCGCGCGUGAUGUCGUGUGCCUUGUUGAGGUUGAGCCAGUGGAGCACAGCCCGUGCGCAAGCGUCCCUGACGGCGAUGUAGCCGUGGCUGUCCCCCACGGCGAGGCAGAGCGGACGGCAGUCGUCGUCGUCGUGUCGUUGAGGGAUGGCGUGUCGGGGGGCGUCCAACGGACGACGGUGACAGAGGUGGGGAGGAUAAGGGAAUGAGGAGAACGUAGAUCUCGUAGCGAGGAUGUCGAUCAGGUCCGAGUCGUUGAGAGCCACAACGGUGGCCGUCGACGACCGUGAGCUGGAGCCGACUACCGUCCUUGGAGAAGUGCACGUUCUCGACCUUGCCGCGCUUGACGGCGGACGGACAAGAACUUGGUGUAGCGCUUGUGCGCGCCCUCGGGGAGGUCGGAGGCAUACGCAAAUGGCUUUAAGGCAGUGAGGAUGGAGCUCGGGUGCCGGCGCGGGGGCGGGGGCUGAAGCCACGAGCGCAUGCAAAUGGGAUGGGGGCGACGGGGUAGGGGCGACGAGUCGUAGCGGGGUCUGGGCGCCGCGGGGAAGGAGCGUGUUGUGGGGACUGCAGAUGAGGCAGGGCUGGAUUUGCGCGCCGCGGACAUAUGGGCGACGGCGCGCGCGUGGCUAGGAGCGGGGGCAUGGUGAGGCUGUGGACACCCAGUCCGUACAUAUGGUGUAGUAGAGAUAAGGAAUGGGAGCCAUGAUUAGAUGGAAUAUCCUAGAAAGAGCAGGCAUGAUGGAUCAUCUAGCUUAUUGCUUUCCUGUGACUGCAAGUACCACCAGUGGGGAAAAUCUAACUUGAUCCUCACAACGAAUCCAAUUGAUGAGUCUUAUGGGUCGUCUAAAGCUGGUUAGAAGUUGCAUUUUGCAGAAAUGCUCCAUAAAAAACAUAGCAACUCUCCACCGUGUAAUGGCAGUCUAAAAAGCAUUAUUGUGGUGGCAGUAGUGAGCAGCUACAGUUAUUGUGGACGCUACGAAGUGUUCCCUACCUUGCACAUUCACAACAGUAAUCAUUCUAAUAGGAUAUAUCCAUAACUCAUGAGCAAAGCAAAAAUAUGAAAUUGAGCCAAGUUUGCAGUUUUACUGUGACCGAGCAAUCGAAAACGGGAGACGAAAAAACAAGCAGCUGACCUCCAAGAUGGCUGUUGUCUGCGCGAACUGCAGCGGCCUCGACGACGGUAAUCAAAGAAAUAAUAAAACAAGAUGCAAUGUGCUUUGGGGAAUGGUGAAGCAACCUCAAACAAAUAGAACCUUGCCAUCAGAAUCUUCUUCUAAGCACUCAACACCAAUCAUGUCAUCCCCUGCAUUCAACACCUGUUGGUAGAGGUGAAUGGGGCCAUCUGCACACGAUUAGUAAUAGCCAACAAAACCACGACCAGUGGAUACAAAAAUACCCCCACCUUGCUCAAGAGCUCAAGCUGUUCAUCAAGUAUGUAAAAGCUCACAUUAGGUCCUUCUUCAAGCGUCGGCAAAUUCUCGAGUCAGUCGAUCACCUGUUACAGAUCAGUGUACAGCUAGCACGAUACAUUGGACUUUAUGGCAAGAACAUAACAUCAACAUCCAAUUGCAGGUCCAGAAAUAUAAUAGAAUGACUAAUUGUCAUUAUUUUAUACUCUUGUUAGCAUUUUUUAAAUGUUAAAUAGGUUUAUGUACCUUAAAAAUAUAUAUGUAUGUGCCCAUACUUCCGUAUGGAAACUAAAAAGAAAAUUACUAAAUUCAUAUAAAUAUUAAAAAAAUAGAUAAAAAGUAUCAUAGAAAAGGCAUAGUAAUCUAUUACACUGUUCUAGAGGAUGCAUGGAAGCACAACACAUGACAUUUAUUUUUCAAAUCACACACGUGUCAACAAAAACAACAAAACAAGAUGCUUGUAGCAUAAAAUUUAAGUUAAAUUGUGGAAUGCAAGCAAGAAACCACAUUUGAGAACAAGGGAAACCAUGCUAUAAUUAAUAGUACAAUGCCCGAUAUUUGAUAUCUAUAAAAAUAAAUCUAAUAUCAAGUGAACAUAUGGUACAUAUGUUGUAGAGAUACAUGUAGAGUAUUUCUUCACCUUUGAACCAACGACAACUAUCUCAUAUAGGCUCUACAAUUUUUUAACAUACACCAACUAUACAAACAAGUAACUUAAAGAAGGUGGGCAGGUAUCACGCAAAGGAUAAAAAUUGAAUACAGAACACGGUAGUUUAUAAAAUAAAUUAUUCUCGUUAAUUUGAAUAGUUUUAGCAAAUUAAGUCCAAUUCCAAAGAACAAAAUUGUCAGUCUCCUUGAGGUCAGACAACUCAUCCCUCACAUGCAGGUCGAUCCGCUCCUCGUCGAUAUUUAACCUCACCCUCCACUGACGCUGCCAACAGACUCCAGCUCGUACAUGGACUGCAGGCUCCGGAGCACUUUAGCAAUGACUAACCCUGCUAUGACAAAGUUAUGGAAUAAUCACUGGUUGCUCGCAACACUUAAGCAAUUUCAACAGUAAGUUGUAGUGUUCAUAAAAAAUACAUUAUGCAUUAUUUUGCAACACUUUAUUGAUCAUGGAAAGGAACACAAAAAAUAAAGUGUCUGAAACAGGAAACAGUUAGAUCCAUCCCAUUGUAUGGGGAGAACAAUAUCAUAUCUUCCUCUAAAUGUUACUGAUGCUAGUUUUGUAUCAGUAGGUGUAUAAGCAUGGAAUCACUUGCGAACUUGAAAGAUAUCAUAGCAUAUGAUAGCAGGGGUGAUUAGAUAGCCAGAUAUUAAACAGGGCAUUGCAUACGAACAUUUCAAGACAUUCUGCUAUGCACUUACAACAUAAAGAACUUGGCCAUCAUCCAUGGUCUUAAAGGACAUGGAGCUUUCUCGAUGCUGCGAAGGAAAAAGUGAGUUGAACUGUUAAUUCCAGCCUAACAAAAUGGAAAUAUAUAGAGAGAGAGUAAUUAUCAACCGUUGUUUAUCACAACAUAUGCUAUCAUAGGAAAAAGCCCAGAACAUAUAAUUGCGGGCAUUGUUGGUCUCCUAGAUGGCAAAAGCCUCAUACAAAAAGAGAAGGUACUACAAAAGGAUAACAAACAUAAUAAAAAUUGUUUUAUUCAUGACUAACCAUUUCAUCAAAUUGAUCAGACUGUAUAGAAUUCCCAACUUGAAGUUCACGGUACUUGGGACCAGGCCUAAGCCCAAGGGCAGCAGCCUUAGAUGGGUCAAACUUUCCCUUAAUUUCUGGCAGCCUUAGAUUAUCCUGGGUGGGCUCUCUAUUCCCUUUGAAAACCAACUUAGAGAUUGGUAAUUGGCAUGCAACAAAUAUGUAUAGAGUUAUUACUAUACUUGCAUGGGCGAAGAAUUGCUGAAAAGAGUGAAGUAUAAACCCAACCUUGAAAGUCAUCAUGUUGAACAAAGAGAUUUUUCCUCCAGAAGCAGACAUGACAUAUGAAUCAUUCUUUGACAAAGCAAAGUAGUGAACAACUUCUUAAAGAUUAUUGUCAGUCGUGUCAUUAGUCAUCAAAAUGCCACUUGUUGGUUGCCAUAGAGUGGGAGAUACACUUGUGGUUGCCUAUAAGAUUGAUGAAUAGCAAAAUUGAACAAUUUAGUAACAAUCUACACAAAAUUUUCGCCUUUGACAUGUAAAGAAGAUGAGCUAUCUGAACACUAUUUAUGCACAUCUAUAUGUACAUAAGAAACAAGUCUCACCUUUCCAGAAUUCCGAUCAUUGAGUGGCCAUUUCUAGAGUAGACGAACAAUGCUUGAAGUUAAAGCCAAGAUCGCAAGACCAGAGUUUGUGUAAAUCAAUCUUGAAAUCUGUAAUUAUAGAGAAAAUUCUUCAAACUACCUUAUGUUAAAAUCAGCACAGUCAUUGCCAAGGAAAAUGGAGAAAUCAAGAUUACAAGUCAUAUAUGAUGUUAUCCAUCCCAUUCGGUUGGACAAGCAUCACAUAUAUUGAACUAAAAAAUCUAAGGUAAAACGCGCAGGCAGGACACACCAAAUGACAAAAAGAGCUAACACACCAAAUGAACCUUUCUGAAAAAUGAAACCAAAGGUUUUUUAGUACACUUUGGCACUGCAAUCACACAAACUUUUCUCCAUAACGAGAAUACAAAGCCUAAUUAUCUCACGAAUGGUUCAUCGUUGAUUAUCUCAGGUUAACAUUUCAAUGAGAACAUAGAGCACAAACAUAUGUGACAAAGGCUCCAUCGUUGUGAUGCAAUUCUCAAAUUACCUCUGACGAAGUCCAUGGCAGACGCCUCAGGAACGUCACGCCCACGCCAGGAGAUGACUACGACGAGCUCGACCUUGUGGUGUAGAGACUUGAGUGGCUCUGGGAUCUCGACGGCGACGGUGGCCACGCCAGCGUGGAGGAACGACGAGGUCGGCUUCAGGAACAGGAUGGGCUCCUGUAACACACCUAAACACACGCAAGGUCAAAUCCAGACUCCAGAGGUAGCAUGGGAAGGAGUGGGGAGGGAAGUUGGAAGCGUGGCAGCAUUUUGGGAUCGAAGAUGGGAGGUGCGCGACUGCAUCUUGGGGACCGGGUUGCCGAGCUCCUGGUCGUUCCUCUGUGGUCCGAUGACCAGGACCGGGAUUGCAUAGAUAGAGAGGAAAUUUAGGGUUAGGGAUUUUGGAAAACUUGAGAAAGAGAUGGAGCGAACAAUAGGAGGGGAACAAGCUGCAGCUCACCACUGUGUCAUUGGCUGCCUUCCUCCGUGGUCCGGCCGCGGGGCAUAGACUGGGGCGCCCUCCACCGUGUCCGUUGUGCUCCCCCGUGGCAAGGAAGUUGGCGCCCCUCCACUGCGUGUAGGGAGCAUCGUGGAGGCCCAAGGCGGACCUCCGUGCGACAAUGGUUGGGGUCGACGGUGCGACAGCUGCGUGUGAGAGAAGGUGUAGCGUGUGAGGCGAGGAGAUCCAAACACGUGCGAGGACCGAGGAAGGGUAGGGGCGUUGCUGGAGAGGGAGCGGUUGCUGUGUGACGCUCGUGCGGAGGAGAGGAUGAGGAGGAGCGAAGCACGAACAGGUCUCGCGGCGGCAAAGGCUUUUGGUUGGGGAUACGAAACAUCUCAGAAUUGCGACGACGGCUGUGCACGGUGAGCUCGACGACGACUCCGUCUUGCCCGCCUCGUGCUCGCGAUGGAUGUGAAGGCGGAGGUCGAAGCGCCUGGGGCAGGGCGUGGUGGAGACGAACCUCCCGCAUCGCUUCGUCAGGUUGGGCACGUCGAGGCCCCUGGAAAGCAACGACCAACGGUCCCCGGGGGAGCGGGAGGGCGGACAAGGAGGCCGACGCGGCGUGGGAUAGGUAAGCAUAGUGGAGGAACGACUGCUUGACAGGGGGAGCAGGACUUGGGAUCCAGGCUGCGGGCACCGCGCCGCCGCCGCUUAGGGUUUUGGAUCCGAAUAGGGGAGGCAAAACAGGGAUCGCGAGCAGGUGUGCAUCGGGGAAGAGGGCGCACACAUCGGACGACAGAGGGACUUUAUGGCGUAUUGGACGGUCCAGAUCGCUGCAAGGCAGAACAUGUCAGAGGCAGCCUACCCCUUAGAGUCUUAAUAGGUAGUAUAGAUACUUCUUGCGGUAUGCUUUGGGUUGGUUCGGAUUUGCGUGGUUCUAUGGGCUGUUCAGAAUUACGACGCCUGGGCUUUGAUGUCGGCCUCAUGGGCCACCAUUUUUCUCGGUGCAGAAAUCCAGCCUUCUAUGGGAUACACGCGUCCCACUUGUCAGUCAGAAACGAUCGACCAAAGAAUCUCUCAUGUCUCAGCUUCCAAACUCCGGGACCCGUUUCUGUAUGGUAUGGAUAAGAGUAUGGACCAACAGCGCACACCCAUUACUCCACGUGGUGCACGUAAUGAUGAACCCUGGCCCGCAGGUCAAUCACGCCGCGAGUAAAAAAAAUAACUUUGGAGAAAAAAUUAUCUCCCACGCAAAAUGCAAAAAACCACACCAAGCCCCCGUUCCCUCCCUGUGCUUUAUUUCGUUUUCGUCGUCCCCGACUCCCCGUACGCGCUCUCGCUCUCCAGGGCCCAUCAUCCACGCCUUAACACCGGCCGCACAAACUAGCGCAGAUCUCCCCCCACUGCUUAAUUCCCUCGUGGCUCGUGCGCGCGCUGCUCGCCAUACACGCUCCAGUAGAGAUGGCAAUGGGGACCCGAUCCCCGAUUCCCCGCGGGGAAUUCCUCCAUUAGGGGAUGGGGAUGGGGAAGAAACUUCCCCCGCGGGGAUAUAAACGGGGAAAAUUUAUCCCCCGACGGGUAAACGGGGAUGGGGACGGGGAAGCAUUCCCCAUCCCCGUUCCCCGCGGGGACCCGUUAAACUUGUACGUGACUAUGUUUUUGUGUACUAGUUAACGACAAAAAUAAAUAAUUACCUUAUCAAGAGACCACUAAUUGUACAAAUGUGUUCAUUUUGAUGUAUGCAUAAUGAUUUCUUAUAUCUGACAAUGUGUAUAAGUGACAAUAUUUAACAUUAAUAGCAAAGUACGUAUGUCUUAAUUGUGAUUUAAACGGGGAUGGGGAUCCCCGUUGGGGAUUUAUCCCCGCGGGGAACAGGGAUGGGGAAGAAAUGCUCCCCGCAAGCGUUCGUGGGGAUCCCCGCGGGGAAGUUUUUUCGUCGUGGGGACGGGGAUGGGGAGCUAUUCCCGGGCGGGGAAUUCCCCGUUGCCAUCCCUACGCUCCAGGCUCUCGUUUCCUGGUAGGCGCUGGUACAAGCGGAAGCAGCAGUAGCGUGAGGCAUCCCCAUGCCGGGGGCAAUCUCUUCCUCGUCGUCGGCUUUUCUCCUCCCCGUCGCGUCCUCCUCGCCGCGGCGCAGGCGGGGCAGUGUGGGUGCUGCUCUGCGCUCGUACGGCUACAGCGGCGCGGAGCUGCGGUUGCAUUGGGCGCGGCGGGGCCCGCCUCAGGAUGGAGCGGCGUCGGUACGCGCCGCAGCGGCACCGGCCGGGGGCGAAAGCGAGGAGGCAGCGAAGAGCUCCUCCUCGUCCCAGGCGGGCGCUGUUCAGGGCAGCACGGCCAAGGUUGAUUUACUCGGAACAUUUAUUAACUCGAUUUUUUCCCGCAUGAAAAAGUACUCCGUAUAAAAUUGCUAUUGGGUUUAUGCACAGCUUGCUUGUCAAAUUCAGCACCAACUCACCGUUUCUGACGGAAAUGCAGCUGCACAUGCAGUUUUAGCCGCUCCUUUCUCAUGAUCAACUACCACAUGUGACACACGCGCUUGUAUAUUUUAGAUGCGGAUCGCUGAACUCUGUACUAGGUGAGCUUCGCUGAUGCUAAGUUUCUAGCUGUGUCCCAAACCUGUUUACUCAGGCUGUGGAUUCUGCUUCACCUCCCAAUCCUUUGACAUCUGCUCCGAAGCAAAGUCAGAGCGCUGCAAUGCAAAACGGAACGAGUGGGGGCAGCAGCGCGAGCACCGCCGCGCCGGUGUCCGGACCCAAAGCUGAUCAUCCAUCAGCUCCUGUCACCAAGAGAGAAAUCGAUGCCAGUGCGGUGAAGCCAGAGCCCGCAGGUGAUGAUGCUAGACCGGUGGAAAGCAUAGGCAUCGCUGAACCGGUGGAUGCUAAGGCUGAUGCAGCUCCGGCUACAGAUGCGGCGGCGAGUGCUCCUUAUGACAGGGAGGAUAAUGAACCUGGCCCUUUGGCUGGGCCUAAUGUGAUGAACGUCGUCGUGGUGGCUUCUGAAUGUGCUCCUUUCUGCAAGACAGGUAGGUUGCAUUUCAGCUGAGUUUCUCCGUCCAAAAUAAGCGACUGCUCUGACAACCGUUGCCGCAUAGGUGGCCUUGGAGAUGUCGUGGGUGCUUUGCCUAAGGCUCUGGCGAGGAGAGGACACCGUGUUAUGGUAUUCAUCUCUUUCAUUUUCGUUAUAUCUAUGCACCCUACGAGAGACAGCAGAUACUGUUUCAGCUGCCAUGCGCCUGAAUGCAGAUUCUGAACUCUUGUCCUUUGCGAAACAUGGGGAAAAAAUUAAGAUCACAUAGUCAUACUUCUGUAACCACAAGUUUUGUCUCAGUGCUCUAAUGUACUUCCACAAAAAAAAGGAGGAAAUUAUAAUUCAUAUAUGACCAGAAAAGUAAUGCAAUUUUGUGUCCUGAUGUUAGGUCGUGAUACCAAGAUAUGGAGAGUAUGCCGAAGCCCGGGAUUUAGGUGUAAGGAGACGUUACAAGGUAGCUGGACAGGUAUGAAAAAAGUGGAAACAAAGUCGCUGUAGAACCGAUCCUGUAUGAAAGAAAGAAAAUAUGCUAGACCUGAUUUUUUUCCUCCUGUGAUUUUCAGGAUUCAGAAGUUACUUAUUUUCACUCUUACAUUGAUGGAGUUGAUUUUGUAUUCGUAGAAGCCCCUCCCUUCCGGCACCGGCACAAUAAUAUUUAUGGGGGAGAAAGAUUGGUAAAUACCAAUUUUGAAGUGCUUUUGCUAACAGUAGAAAAUCAAGUUGGAUGCUUGUCACAUUUAUCUAAACUAUGUCUCUGAAUUUAAUCACCUGAUGGCAGGAUAUUUUGAAGCGCAUGAUUUUGUUCUGCAAGGCCGCUGUUGAGGUACUGCUAGCCAUUGGUUUCUAAGAAAUUCACAAAGUAACAAAAAAAUUAUGAUGGCUUACUGGCUAAUAAGAAGAUAAAUUCAUCGCUGGUAAAUUUUGAUAAGUCAACAGUGACCAGGCCCCAUAGAAUUACACAAUAUACACCCUUCACUGUUUAGUUAAUAUAUUUUUCUUCUACUUUUCCAAGCUGUCUAUGCACCUCAUUGAAUAGUUUGUUAUGACAGACUCAAUUACAGCUCAUAUGGGCUAUAGUUUAUUGUGGGGCGAAUAAAUCUGCAUCAUCCUCUUUUUCAAAGUUAUUUUGAACAUUUGCAGGUUCCAUGGUAUGCUCCAUGUGGCGGUACUGUCUAUGGUGAUGGCAACUUAGUUUUCAUUGCUAAUGAUUGGCAUACCGCACUUCUGCCUGUCUAUCUAAAGGCCUAUUACCGGGACAAUGGUUUGAUGCAGUAUGCUCGCUCUGUGCUUGUGAUACACAACAUUGCUCAUCAGGUUUUGCACCUUAAACUUUGGCUACCCUUUGUUUUUUUCUCUAAAAACUUUGAAAUCACAUGUACUUAUUUUGUUGAUAUCUUUGUUUGUAAUUCUCCUGCAAAAGUUUUCAAGAUUUAUCGACUCAUAGCAUUUAUUGUUUUUUUUAAAGGAAAAAUUCACGACUCAAUAAACCUAAUAGCUUUUUAUAUUUUUAGUUUCUUCCAGUUGUCUAGUGACCCAAAUCAGAUGAAAUGAAACUAUGAAUCUUUUGAAAGGAUAAAAGGUAUUGGUGUAUAAGAAAAGUUACCCAUAUCUCAGACAGGAAUAGGGAUGGCAGUUGGACCCGUGGGUAUGGAUACCCGCGGGUUUCGUACCCACCGGAUACCGGAUAUGGAUACGGGUACAAAAACUCACCCGUGAGUUCUAUCGGGUCGGAUACCCGAAAUACAUCGGGUCGGGUAUGGGUAAAAUACUUUACCCAUGGGUAUCCAGUGGAUACCCGAAAUAUCAAUAUACCUCUUUAAAUGUUCUACAUCCACUAAAAAUGUGCUACAUUCACUAGAAAAACUCACUCGCAUGUGUUGUUGAUUAAUGAAUAUUAAUUUAUGUUGUGUUAACAGUCAACUAUAAUGUAAUCGAGACCAAUGAGACAUUGACAAUGUUAUAACUGUCAACUGUCAUGAACUUAUUAAGCUUUUAUUCUCUUUACUCAAAUUUAAAUUUAUUGGAUGUGAUAAUUAUAAGUUGAGAUACUGUAUCGACGUGUAGCCAAAUAUAGUCAUUCUCGUGUUGCAUUGGUGCUUAGAUGUAAACUAAAAUAUUUUAUGUAUUUAUUAUAACACUGACCGAAUGUUAUUUAGUCUACACAAUAACAUAUCCACUGGAUACCCGAUACCCGGUGGAUACCCGAUGGACAUAGAUACGGGUACAGUUUCUCGCUCGAUUGGCUUGGUGGGCAUGGAUAUUUGUAGAAGUCUCGGGUAUAAUUUCGGGUCGGGUAUUGUUAUACCCGAACAAAACCCGACCCGCUGCCAUCCCUAGACAGGAAUGUUACCCAUGUAAGGAAAUGCUUUUGUGAUAUAUUCUUAGGAAUACUUGUGCUAGAUAUGUAAAAUUGUUACUUUUAGGCGUCAGUUCUUUGCUAUUUUGAGGGAUUGAUUAGGUUGUUUCCUAUUUUCAGCACUAGUUCUUUGCUACUUGGAGGCAUCAAUUUGGUCCUUUAGCAUUUUCAGGUUUCAUUUAGGUGCCGUUUGGUUCACAUAUUUGUAACGUAAUGGAUAAGUGAUAACGUUAAAUCAUGUUUGUUUUAGUCCAACCGUAAUCAGAUACCAUACUAAAAAUUGAUACCGAACUAUUCAAACUUAUUACCGCCAGUAAUCGAGUGUAAACCAUUACCAUUAUCAUUUACGUUACAUUUCUCGAACCAAAUAGCACCUUAGUUCUUGUGGGAAUGAAUAUGGUAAUCUUAAAGGAGUAUUUAAAUGCACUAGAGUUAAUGGUUAGUUGGCUAAAAAAUUGCUAGUGUAAUUAGCUAUCUAAUAAAUAGUAGCUUACUAUUAGUUAAUUUGCUAAAAACAGAUAAUAGCGAAAUUAUUAGCUAGACUAUUUGGAUGUCUUCAACUAAUUUUAAGAGCUAACUAUUAGCUCUAUUGCAUUCAAACACCUCUGUUAAACCUAAUGAACAAUCAUGUGUUCGAGACUUAAAUAUUGUGUAUUUCAGUUAGAUUUUGCUGGUUGACUUUUUUUAAAAAAAAUAUAAUUUUCAACUUCAGACCUGACACGGCCAAAAUUAGUAAAUUGCUGAUGCAGUUAUGCACAUUUUUCGCUUUUCUGAAGGGUCGUGGCCCUGUAGACGACUUCGUCAAUUUUGACUUGCCUGAACACUACAUCGACCACUUCAAACUGUAUGACAACAUUGGUGGGGAUCACAGCAACGUUUUUGCUGCGGGGCUGAAGACGGCAGACCGGGUGGUGACCGUUAGCAAUGGCUACAUGUGGGAGCUGAAGACUUCGGAAGGCGGGUGGGGCCUCCACGACAUCAUAAACCAGAACGACUGGAAGCUGCAGGGCAUCGUGAACGGCAUCGACAUGAGCGAGUGGAACCCCGCUGUGGACGUGCACCUCCACUCCGACGACUACACCAACUACACGUUCGAGACGCUGGACACCGGCAAGCGGCAGUGCAAGGCCGCCCUGCAGCGGCAGCUGGGCCUGCAGGUCCGCGACGACGUGCCACUGAUCGGGUUCAUCGGGCGGCUGGACCACCAGAAGGGCGUGGACAUCAUCGCCGACGCGAUCCACUGGAUCGCGGGGCAGGACGUGCAGCUCGUGAUGCUGGGCACCGGGCGGGCCGACCUGGAGGACAUGCUGCGGCGGUUCGAGUCGGAGCACAGCGACAAGGUGCGCGCGUGGGUGGGGUUCUCGGUGCCCCUGGCGCACCGCAUCACGGCGGGCGCGGACAUCCUGCUGAUGCCGUCGCGGUUCGAGCCGUGCGGGCUGAACCAGCUCUACGCCAUGGCGUACGGGACCGUGCCCGUGGUGCACGCCGUGGGGGGGCUCCGGGACACGGUGGCGCCGUUCGACCCGUUCAACGACACCGGGCUCGGGUGGACGUUCGACCGCGCGGAGGCGAACCGGAUGAUCGACGCGCUCUCGCACUGCCUCACCACGUACCGGAACUACAAGGAGAGCUGGCGCGGCCUGCAGGCGCGCGGCAUGGCGCAGGACCUCAGCUGGGACCACGCCGCCGUGCUGUAUGAGGACGUGCUCGUCAAGGCGAAGUACCAGUGGUGAGCGAAUUAAUUGGCGACGCCGACGCCGCUCCUGUCGCAGGACCUGGACGUUAUUUAGAAGGCUCUUCUCCCUGGCGGCUUUGAUGCGUGCGUCGCAUUUGCGCCGGGCGGACGGGCGACGGUGGUUGGCCUACCGCCUACGUCGGCUGCGUGCCCUGGGAAUUUGGGCGGGCACGAUGAUGCCACUGGGCACCGGGCGCGGGGUAGUAUGAUAUGAAACCGACGGCGAUGGAGAUGAGGCGCAUGGCAUUUUCCCACUGAUAAAUGGGGAGUUGUAUGCUACUUUAAUAUCGCCACUCCUGUUAGUAUUUAUAUUGAUGCUGUCAAGUUUUCCACUCCAAGAACAAAUGACGGUAGCCGGUAAGUAUAGGCCUAUUUGUAGAGCUAGUUAGAAGUACAUGUGCCCAAACCGACAACAUUGUACGUACAUUAUAAAGCACGGCACUAUUUGUUACUGUCAGUAACCGUGUCGUGCUAGUACUAUACCUAACCAUCGUCACAGGUACAGCAUUAUAGCACCUAUGACGCCAUUGUAUAGCACUUAGUAGUUAGUAGUGCUCUUGUCGGUCUAGAUAUUAUUUCACUUUAAGAGUGCUCAAAAGAGCUAGAACACCUUUAAAAUUACAUAUAUAUAAAUUUAAAACAUAAACAUGCAUACUUUAUUAUAUUUAAAAAUCAUAAUAAAUCACAAUUUACAAUCGCAUGCAUUGCAAGCAAUCAGUCGUAUCUAUACUACCUACCGUGUCAAAGCAGUACGGGUUGUGUUAUACCUAGUAUCCAUUUAGUAUGAUCCACUUGGCUAUCUAUAGUCAGAGGCUUGAACACCUCUUGGUUUAGCCGAACGUUUACAGUAUUAUUUAUAUUAUUUGAUUAAAUUUGAAUUGUUUAGUUUCUUCACGAGCCGUAUUCGGAGCCGGUGUGGAAAGGUAACGUUUUAAACAAAAGUGAAAAAGGGCGAGCUCUCCCAGCCGUUCAUUCCAACCGUAGACGCCUCAACUGUCAGCCCACGGGACAGGACACUGCUGGCCUAGCCUGCUGUGAGAGAGAGAGAGAGAGAUAUCACAGAGAAUCAAAGCACAGUACUACGAAGUUUCUUUUUUUGAAGGAAACAGUACUACCCGUCCUUCGUAUUUGCUACAACUGUAGGACUGUGGCCACUGACACUCGCACGUUGCUUGCCACAACCACCACCUCCGCCGUGUCAAACGCGCACGCAUCGAUGGCCAUUGCAGGCCCCUUGGCAACGCGAAUUGGGAUAGCUUUUCCCAUGCGAGUGAAAGUGAAGGUGCCUGCGCGGCUCCCGCACACACGGAAAGCUGGUUGCAAGAUAUGGACAUGUCUUGCAAAAAAUUCGUCACUUGUUGAUUGAUGCUCUGGGCUCCGAGAUGUACGUCCAAUUAAUGCUGUUUCCAUUCGUUAAUUCUGUGAGAUGACUCCAACUACGCUAACGCUUAGGCCCUGUUACAGACCGGUAAUUAUUAGCUAAUAAAUUAUUAGUUGUUUUUAGCUGGGUUAGGCUGACUACAGUGGUAUCCUCUCGCCUCCCCUUCCCUUGCCUCUGUAGUGAUGGUGGCGGAUACAGUAUCACAUUUGCUUAGGCUAUCCGCACUCAUUCAACUCUAAAAAUCCACUCUAAAAAGAAUAUUCCGUCCUAAUCAGCAAUAUUCUCUACUCUAUACAACAAUUUCCUGCGCUCAUGUUUACUCUACAUCUCAACUCUAUACCAACUCCCACGUUUUAUAUUAUUUUUCCCACUCUCCUACCCCGCCUAUCUACCUCCCCGCUCGGCACUCCGCCUCCCCCGCUAGCACUGGGCAUAAAACCCGAGCCCGAAGCCCUGUACCCGAAAUACCCGAACCCGUACCCGUAUAGCCCAAAACCCGUUACCUAAAUAGCUUCAGCGGGUAACGAAACUAAAUACCCGAAUUAAGUACGGGCCUAAUCGGGUAUUAAACCACGCUACCCGAAGCACUGUAGCUGCGUGCUUGCGCCAGCCCGCCAGGUGUUCGGCCAGUCGGCCUGCUCAGUGCUCACGGCCCAGUUCUCAGUUUCUCACGGCCCACGCACUGGCUGGAAGCGCCCCCCUCCCCAGUCCCCAGACCCACUGUCCAGAGCCAGAGCCCAGAGGCACGCACGACCGCACGAGGCCACGAGCACCGGAGCACGACCAUGAAAUUGACAAAUCAACAAAGCACAAACCCUAGCUCCUAGAGGUGGCGGCUGCCGGCUCCGCGGUCGGCACUCGGCAGUCGGCAACACCGCAGCAGGCAUUCCAGGCAUUCCAGGCAAGGGCGCAGCCGCGCAGGCGUGUGUGGGUGUGCGGUCUGCGGUGUGCCCCUGCGGUUCUUCUCCUCUCUCUCUCUCUCUCAUUGUGAGGCAAGGCAAGGCCACAGCCCACAGCGGCACAGCAUCGUCGGCGGCCACAGCGUCCACACUCCACAGGCAAGGCAAGGCAAGGCCUCUCUCCCGCAGCAGCAGGCGGCAGCGCCCAGCCUAAGGCUGGCUCCAGCAGGGUCCUGUAAAAGCUCCUGUACUCUACAUAUAGAGGUUUGUCAGAUCCUCUAUCCCUCCAACAAGGGACUUUAAAAGGUCCUCUAAAAUUUAUGGCUUGUUCGCUGCGGCUUGCUGCGGCUGCAAUCCGGCUGCGGCUGCGGCUUCUACAGUAUUUUUCUCUCUAUGGAUUGCAGCUGCAGCAGUCCAAACAGCUGCAACAGUGUCGGCUUGUAGCCAGCCGAACACGCCCUUAGAGGAUGACAUGCAUGCGCUAUGUAUAGAGAAUGUACGGCGGUGCUCUAUAUAGUGUGCUGAUUUCUGUGCACGUGCUGACGAGCGGUAAAAAAUAAUAUAGAAUGUCAAAUCUAGUAGCACUAUUGAUAUAGAGGAUGAAAUUUAGGGGAUAUUGCUGGAGAUGAAGAAGAUAUAGAGUACAGAAUCUUUUAGAGAGUGCUGUAAAGGACAGAGAAUAUUCUUUUAGGGGAUGAAAUUUAGGGGACGUUGCUGGAGACAGCCUAACAGCGUCAGACGCCCAACACUCCAGCAUCUUAGUGGACAGCGCCGCCCAGCCUAGCAUCGGGUAUUUUGAUAUUAACCGAACCCGUACCCGAAAGUAUGGGUACCCAAAAUUACGGGUACCCGACAUUAUGGGUACGGGUUCGGGCUUAGAUGUUUAAAACCCGAAAUAUAAAAAACCCGACCCGAAAUAUCGGGUAAACCCGAACGCCCAGCUCUAUCCCCCGCAGACAGUCCACGUGGAGGAAUAGGGUAUCCACUGCAAGACGCCAUAUCUGAGGUUCGAGCUUGCCUUGGGCCCGGUGCAGUUGGUCAUACAGUCCACCGCUGCAGGGAUAUUUUACUGUAAAUGGCGAUGCAUCCAGUUUGCAGUCCGCGAGUGCAGAUAGCCUUAGUGCUGAUUUGGUGACCAGGAAUCACGAGAGAAUCUAUACGAAAGGAAUUUCUUGUUAUUCAAUUUUGAAUAGUAAGAGGAUUCCGAAAAAUCAAAGUGCCUACUUGUGUAAUGAAUACAAGAAAUCUGAGUUAGUGUGUACAGUAUUCAGAAUUAUGCCACGUAACAAAAACAAAACAUGAGCGUUCGCGGGUGGUUGUUCACGUCGUAUUGGACAGCUUUUUAAAAAAAAAUUGCCAAGAGCUCACAAACGUUCUCAGUAGACCUGCCCGCGACUGUGGAUUCCAAAUCUAGGGGUCUGUUUGGUGUUUGGUUUAUGGAUUGAUUAAGUUUAACCGUUCAAAUUAAAUAACUAAUUUUAGCCAGAAAAGGUAGGUAAAAUAUGACAAAUUAGAUAGCGAACCAAAUGACUAUGCAUACUGAAGUUCCAGCACAAACUUAAUAGGGUUCAUUACAACCAACACACUUGGGUAACACGCAAAACAUCUCAUCCGAAAGAGGCCAUCACCAUGAGACCCCACAAAUGCUUAAUUGGCGGGUGAUAAAAGGCGGCCUACCUCCGUUAAUCUGCAAGCCAGCCUUACCACCACUUCCAAUUCCAAAACAACCAAGCAAAACGCUACCACACCAACCAGGCUAACACCAGCACGACAAAACCCGCGCUAAUACUAGGCCUAAACUACUGGUAAUUCCCCAGAUCCAAAGCGAGAUGCACCAUUCAUAAAACCAUGGCGCCUCUCGGCAAGCUCCGAGUGAGGGUGGACGACUCUACCACGACCAACGGAAAACUACUACUUGUGGCACCGCGUCGACGACGGACGAGACGACGCUGCGGGAACGAUGGAGGGUGUUCAGUUGAACUGGGCCCCGCUGAAGGUCUGGCCGAAGCCCCAGCCGCGCGGGGCAGCGUUGCUGGAGACCACGGAGCGGCCGUCGCUGGUGGUGACGCGGAAGGAGAGGGCCUGCCCGUCCAGGAGCGUGUUGCUCUGCCAGUUCUGGCCCCAGUUGCGCGACAGGGCCUGCCACCCCGCGGAACGGUCGCCCUUCACGGCCACCGCGUGCACGUCGCCGGCGCCGCCCACGUUGGUCACCAGCACCAGGUUGAAGUAGGAGUGGCCGUUGAUGGUGAACCGGAUGCCGCCCUUCUUGUUGCACGCGACCCUGCACAGCACGUAGGAUAGGAAACAAACAAACAAACAAACAAACAAACAAACAAGCGCGGCUCUCAGAUCUGCUCGAGUUCCUUUCCCUUCUUGUUUUGCUAUACACGGGCAAAAUAAACAACCACGGAGCACGGACCUGCGGUAGGAGACGGGGACAAUGCCAGCCCUGUAGAGCGCGAUGCGCUGGAACACGGGCUGCGACAUGUCGAAGUGGGCGCGCGGCGGGUUGCACCAGCCGCCGUCGUCGGACGGGAGCGCGUUGUUGGGCGGGCAGAAGUUGGUGGCCGUCACCACGACGGAGCCCGGCAGACACGAGCGGCCGCCGCCCCCCGCCGCGUCGCACCGCACCUCGAAGCAGGCGCCGCAGCUGAGGCCGUUGUUGAAGAGCGCCGUGCUCAGCGCCGCCGUGUUGGUGCCGUACCCCUGGCUGUAGAGGUUGCCGUACCCACACGCCCCGCCUGCAUGGACGCGCCGCGUUCAGAUGCGAAAUUCAGUCCAAGGCAUCUCGGCAGGGUACUGAAACCUACGAGAACCGCGAAAUGUUUGAGAAUGGGGGUCGCUCACGUACCCAUGGUGCCGGACGCAUCGCCGCCGCCGUAGAAGGUGGCGUGAGCCGAGGACCACGCGCCACCUCCGAGCGGUGCGUGGCCGUGCGGCCUCGGGUGCGGCUGGGCGCGGUGGUGGCCAAGCCGCAGCCCGCGAGAGAGGGCGAACGGGAGCAGCGCGGCGAGGACCACGACCGCGAGGACGGCUUGGCGAGGCGCCAUUGGAUUGGAGCGGGGUGUGUGUGGCGGUGCAGAAAGGCGCAGGACAAUGGCGGGAGUGGUGUGAAGUGAGGAGAUGUGGGGUGGGGUGGGGCUGUGUGUCGGGAUAAAUAGAGGGGGGCGGCGGAUGGGUUUCAAACCGCCGCGCGCGGUGCGCGUGGGCGUGGUGCCGGGCCGCGCAGGGCGUGGGCGGGACGGGGAUGGACGGUGGUUGGCGGCUGUGGGGCUGGGCUGGGGCCUGGGGCGCGCGGCGCCGUGGCAUGGUGGGCCACGCCGUGCUCUGGAAAAGUCGCUGAGCUACCACGUAGGGACACGGGUUUUCUGGCGGGCACCUUGGGAGGCGUGGCGGGCGGGAGAGGACGGGGAAAAAAAGGUGGGCGCCGCAGAGGACACCGGCGCGGUGACGGUGCUGUGCGGCAGCUUUGGAAGUUGAACAUGGCCGCGCGGGGUGGUGACUGACGGUGGUCCACCGUUCUAUUGCUCCAGCGAAUUCUCCUGUACUACUAUGUAUUUGGCACUAUUAUUCACUAUGAAAUCAUAUUAAAAUUAAGUUAAAAUUGGAUUUUUGAACCUACUGUUACAUGUCUAUGUGAUCAGUUCAAUAUUUUUUUUGAUAAAUACUGAAGCCGAAUUUACAGAUCAAUCUUGUUACGAGGUACUGUCCAAGUAAAAGAAAAGGUGACGAUGAUAAUAGCUUUCCGGAUUUACAUAUAAGAUUACAAAUAGGGAUAAUAAAUCGUUGAAAUCAAUAAGUUUAGGGUCUUUUUUGGAUUGCAGAAUUUUUCAGUUUUCCGUGUUUUUUUUUCUGAUGAACUGAUUCCUAUAUAAUUAUUCUGAAAUUCAUGCAUUCCAAAGGGCGUGACAUAUUGAUAUAGUUCUGUGUACCCGUCACGCUGCUACUUCAUAACUAACUUUGGAAGGAACCGAAUUCCUAUGGGAACUGAAGUACCGAGUAAUACCAAACGUCCAGGCCUAAUUACAACACAAGCAACCACAUAGCUUGAAAAGAGAUCUAUCAACAUACGACAAGAGAAACUACAUGAACAAUCCACCUCAAACUCAGACCAGUACGGCAGUACCAAAGGUCCAUAAAAUGCUGGCUACUAGAUCACCAGCACACACAAAAAAACAUAAAGGCCAAAAAACUCUCAGAUCACUCUUUCCACAUCUAAAAAAUCUUCAGAUCGUUUCUGCAAGAUCUUUACCCAGCUCUUCACUCUUCCAUUAUCAGCUAUUCAUUAGCUACAGCUAACAUUUAGAUGAUUACUAAAAAAAUAGUUUUGAACUGUUUAGAAUCAAUGACUGAUAGACGCUAUUCUCACAUAGAUAUAUUUAUGCCUCAUGGGCCCUAGCGAACACACAGAAGCACUUUCCUUGGGCACAUGAAAAUAACAGAUGGGUUGUCUACACUGCAUCAACACAAACUUCAACUCUAAUAGGAGACAAACUAGGACCACCCUGAGCCUACUGCUACCCCAACACCGCAAGUACCCUAAUGGCCCUAGCAAUACCAAUCGAACCACCUUAGGCCUUCUCUAGUGCCUCCCCCAUCCCACGAAGGGGAGCUUUGGGGGUGAAAUUGCCCUCCAACAACUACUCCAAAGCUCCCUCCAUAAGGAAAAGAGAGGAAACUCCUAACCAGGUUAUAUUAAACUAUGCUUUGCCUCACCGCACUAUCCCUCAAGCAACGGACAAGCUGAGAGGGCAAACACUAAAAUCCUUUGAAACCUCAAAACCUAGAUAUAUAAUUGUCUUAAAAACAUAGCUAGGUAUAUCAUCUUAGAGCCUGUUUGGAAAUGCAGUUUUGAAAUACUAUAGGUUUGAGAUACCACAGUUUACAAUUGUACAUAACACAAAUACCACGAUAUUACUUUACCACAGUAAAACCAUAGUAUUGCUCAAAACCGAGAUAUGUAGAGAAAAGAGAUGAAAACUGAGGUAUUUUUGCAGUUUUGAAACAAUACUAUGGUAUUUGAUAAUACUAUAGUAUUAGAGCUCAAAGGUUGUUUGGUUUGUACAGUCAAAACUCAGUUUUAAAUACCAUGAUUUUAUCCAAAACUGUGGUAUUUUUGGUGUUUUCGAAACUCCACUCAGGACCUUAGUUUUCUUCUCUUCUCUCUACAUAUACUUUGUUUUUUUCCAAUAGAACCAAACAGAUCUCGGUUGUGAGCAAUGAUGCAGUUUUAUUGUGGUAAAACAAUAUCAUAGUAUUUAUGUCAUGUACAAUUGUAAACUAUGGUAUCUCAAAACUACAGUAUUUUAAAACUGCAUUUACAAACAGGCCCUCAAAAGCUCCAAAAAUAUCACGGUUUUGGGUAUAUUAAAACCAUGUUUUAUCUGUACAAACCAAAUAUCUUUUGGGGUUCCAAUACUAUAGUAUAAUCAAAUAACAUAGUAUUGUUUUCAAAACUACAAAAAUACCACACUUCCAAACAGGGCCUUAACUCGAUUCUUUGGGCAAACAGAACUACUCCUAAUCAGGCCACGAGAGAAACUCCGUUCUUUUUGGCCUAUGGGGUCGGGCUCCCCUUGGUUAUUGUGUAUCAAGAUGUUUUGCAGCAGCAAAGUACGCCCUAAGGAUCUAGACUUGCUCGAUGAGCAAAGAUGACAGACUCUCCUUCGUGCGGUGGAUUACCAGCAAGCACCGCGCCGCCACCAUCUACGCCAUGUAAGGCCAUGGACACUUACAAAGGAGAUAUCAUGCAUGCUCUGAUGUAUCGUCAGCCAGGUAGGUAUGAACAAACUCUAUCCUGCCUAAGAGGGUCCUUUCCGGGUUACCGGAGUCUAGAAACCAGCAUCUAGUUCGGCUCAGCCCUGUUAAUAUGCUUGAUUUGUAGUAUUUAUUGUGGUCUAUUGCAGUGCUCAGUGGUGAAUCAGUGGAGAGACAGGAGAGAAUGAGACAAAUGACAGGGAUGGUUUCUUUAUUGCAGACAGGGUAGUAUAUACACAAGUGUUCUCAAGGGGUGUGUCCCUUGGGAAUAACUGUCACAUGGAUGGAUUAGAUCACAUGUACAAAUAUUUUGUAACACUCCCCCUUGAUCAAUCCUAAUCCAUUUGAUCAUCUGCAAUCUGUCAUCAAAUUCUUGAUCUCCUCAAAAACCCUGUGGGAAAAAUAAGGAGUACACAAUGUCUUUUGGAUAAUGAGAAUAAUCUCACAUAGUCUCCAAAAGAAAAAUAUGCUUGUAAUCAUCAUGUAUAAAAACCCCUGUGGGGAAAAUCAAUGAUGAAGCAUAUAGCUUUGUUGAUAUUACCUCGUUAAAAACUUUGAAUGAGAAAACCUUAGCAAGGCAAAAACUCAUACAAAGAAAAGAGUGUAAUAUGAUGGUUCAAUACAGGUUAUAUAUCAUGGGGAAUUACUCCCCCUGAACCUUGCAAGCACUUAAGUCUUCUCAUACCAAUCCUCUCAACACAUUUCUGAAAUGUAGAGUAUGGUAGAGACUGUGUGAAUAGAUCUGCAAGAUUAUCACAAGACUUUGUUUGCAAGAUGUUUAUAUCCCCUUUUUCCUGAAGUUCAUGGGGAUAAAACAGUUUAGGAGAAAUAUGCUUAUUGAUAUUGCUCUUGAUAUAACCUGUAUCCAUCUGAACAACACAAGCUGAAUUAUCUUCAUAGAUAAUUGUUGGUGAGUUAAGAGAACCAAUACCACAAGUUGUGAGUAUAUGAUUCACCAUUCUACGAAGCCAUACACAUUCAUGUGAUGCUUCAAAUAAUGCAAUUAUUUCAGAAUGGUUGGUGGACGUGGUCACCAAAGUCUGCUUAGACGAUUUCCACGAGAUGGCAGUUCCACCUUGUAAGAAUACGAAUCCUGUUUGCGAUCGGCCAUUGUGGGGAUCAGAUAAAUAGCCAGCAUCUGUAUACCCAAUUAAACUACGAUCAUUACUUCUCUUGUAAAAGAGUCCUAGAUCCUUUGUGCCAUUUAGGUAUCGGAAAAUAUUCUUAAUGCCAACCCAGUGUCUUUUCGUUGGGGGCAGAACUGUGCCUUGCUAACAAAUUUACUGCAAAAGCAAUAUCCGGCCGGGUAUUGUUAGCAAGAUACAUCAAUGCACCAAUAGCACUGAGAUAUGGGAACUCCGGUCCCAAUGUCUGUUCUUCAUCAUCCUGUGGUCUGAAUGGAUCUUUCUUUAAAUCCAAGGAUCUGACCACCAUAGGAGUCUUUGAAGGAUAAGACAUAUGCAUAUUGAAUUUUUCCAAUACCAUUUGGGUAUAUGUACUUUGAUGUACAAGGAUUCCAGAAGGUAAAUGCUCAAGUUGUAGACCUAAGCAAAAUUUGGUUUUACCCAAAUCCUUCAUCUCAAAUUCCGUCGUUAAAUGAUGACGUGCUUCAUCAAUAUCAAGUUUAUUACCUAUGAUGUUAAGGUCAUCAACAUAAACUGAUAUGAUACAGAAUCCCACUUUGGAUCUUUUGAUGAAGACGCACGGGCAAUCAUCAUUUUUCGUGUAUCCCUUACUCAAAAGGAAUUCACUCAAUCGGUUGUACCACAUUCUGCCCGAUUGUUUUAAGCCAUAUAAUGACUUCGGCAACUUUACACAAUACAUGUUGCACUUUGUCUUUGGAUUCGGUACAUCUAUUCCAUCAGGAACUUUCAUGUACAUAUCAGAAUCCAGUGACCCAUAAAGAUAUGCGGUCACUACGUCCAUCAACUGCAAAGAUAGACGAUUUUGCACUGCCAAAGAUAUUAAAUAUCGGAAUGUUAUUGCACUCAUGACUGUUGAAUAAGUUUCGUUGAAAUCAACGCCGGGUCUUUGUGUAAACCCUUGUGCUACUAGCCUUGCUUUGUAUCUCACUACCUCACCAUUUUCAUUUCGUUUCCGAAUGAAAACCCACUUAUAUCCCACAGGGAAGAUAUCACGUGGUGUAGGUAUUACAGCAGAGAAAACUUCUCUUUUGUAAAGCGAGGCUAACUCCGCUUCGAUUGCUGCCUUCCAUUUGAUCCAAUCCGAGCGCUUACUGCACUCUGCCAUGGUCUUUGGAUCUAGAUCAUUUUGAAGGUCCUCAGCAAUCUGCUCGGAGAAAUAUAUGUCGACAUUGGUAGCUUUUCUAUCAUAUGUUUCACCAGUCUCAACAUAGUUGAUGGCAAUUUCAUCAUUCCUUAGAGACUCAUCAGAAUUUCCCAAAUUGAUGUGUCUAGGAUUUUCCGAUGUCCCAGCCUCGGUUAUGUGCACAUCCGAGCUGGGUUGUGGAUCAUCACAAUCCACAUGAUACAUUGUAUCAUUUUGGUGUCCUUUUGCAUUCACUAUUGUUCUUUGCUUCUUGGCAACAGAACAGCGCUUAUUCACCAUACUUCUCCUCUCUAGGAGUUGAGUGGCCUUAUUCGGUACUUCCACUCUUUCUGGUGCAUUCCUAGCAGGAAUGAAUGAUUUAGUGACACCUUUGUAAUUAGUGAAUGCAUCUGGCAGUUCAUUUGCAAGUCUUUGCAAAUGUAUAAUUUUCUGAACUUGCAGUUCAGUUUCUGAAGUACGUGGAUCAGAACCUGGAACACAUUGAGUAUUCCAAUUUAUUUCCUGGCAUUCUUUUUGGUACUUAAAUUCUCCCCCUAAUGCCGGGAAAUGUUCCUCAUCAAAAAUAGAGUCAGCAAAACGGGCUGUAAAUAGAUCCCCUGUUAAGGGUUCUAAAUACUUAAUGAUCGACGGAGAUUGAAAUCCCACAUAGAUCCCCACUUUCCUGUGUGGGCCCAUAGCUGUUCUCUGAGGUGGUGAGAUUGGAAUGUAUACACAACAUCCAAAUUUGCGCAAAUGGGAAAUACUUGGAGGAUUUCCACGUACCAUUUGUAUUGGGGAUGUUGAAUGGUAUGCAGUUGGUCGUAAUUGUAUAAGGUCAGCAGCGUGCAGAACUGCAUGACCCCAACACGACGAAGGCAAUUUGCAAUUCAUCAAUAAUGGCCUUGCUAUGAGUUUAAUCCUCUUGAUUAGUGACUCAGCCAAACCAUUCUGGGUGUGGACAUACGGUACCGAGUGCUGUACUUGAAUCCCCAGCGCCAUACAAUAAUCAUUGAAUGCCUGAGAUUUGAAUUCAGCAGCAUUGUCCAUUCGGAUUGAACUAAUCCGAUGUUCAGGAAAAUUUGCCUUUAACUUGAUAAUUUGAGAUAUUAUCUUGGCAAAUGCAUGGUUGCGUGUUGAUAGUAAACACACAUGUGACCAUCUAGUAGAUGUGUCAAUCAGUACCAUGAAAUACCUGAACGGCCCAGAAGUUGGUAUAAUUGGCCCACAAAUAUCUCCUUGAAUCCUUUCAAGGAAUUUAAGCGGUUCAGCUUUAAUUUUGAGAUAUGAUGGUCUCAAAAUAAGUUUCCCAGUUGCACAUGCGGUGCAAACAAAAUCCUGAGAUUUGGGAAAACUUGUUGUGGGCAAAUUAUGACCAAUUGAAUUGCCUGUAAUUUUCCUCAUCAUCCCUACGCCAGGAUGACCAAGUCGAUCAUGCCAAAUCUGGAAUGCAUCAACAUCUUGGAAAAUUACCUUGUAUGCAACAUGUGCAUUGCUCUUAAUAUAUGUAUAGUACAACCCCAUAACUUUUGGCAUUAGGCCCUCCGAUUGGAGGAUCAUUAGGCCCAUUAGGCCCUCCGAUUGGAGGAGGAAGAUGAGGCCGACGUGGCGGCCGGAUCGAGGGCCAUUAGGCCCUCCGAUUGGAGGAGGAAGAUGAGGCCACCCCAUUUGGGUGAUGGUCGGUGAAGAUGAUGCAGCCUCUCGGGGCAUCAACAGCGCGAGCAGGCUGCCCACGACGGGCAGCGAUGGUCCCGACGACCAUAGACACUGGUGGAGAUGGCGAACGACGAGCAACUGCCGCUGCAGGUGGCGGUGGUGCCUCCAAAUUGACGUCCAUAGGAGCGGAUGCAGACGAUCCCACGUCAACGACCGGCACCGGUGGCGACGGGGAUGCAGUGGGGAGUCCACACUCCACCACCGGCAGCGGAACCACCGCUGUCCAUCCAUGGAUAACACAGAAGUGCACAUUUUGCACUUGCACACGGCGUUCAGGGAUCGCGUGCACCGGUGGAAGCGCUGCGGCUUGCCCAACGGUGAACGCUUCCAACAUCGCAUCAUCAACAAUAUGAAGAACUUCGCGCAUACGGCGUAUGCGCAUGGAAACGGUAUGUUUCAUACCUUGCUGUUGAUGUGCAGAUCGAUCUUGCUGUUCUUGUCAAGAACCGCGUGUUCUUCCUCUUUCCCUACUCUGAUUUCUCCUUGAGACAGUGCUGAUAACGUAUUGUGGUCUAUUGCAGUGCUCAGUGGUGAAUCAGUGGAGAGACAGGAGAGAAUGAGACAAAUGGCAGGGAUGGUUUCUUUAUUGCAGACAGGGUAGUAUAUAUACAAGUGUUCCCAAGGGGUGUGUCCCUUAGAAAUAACUGUCACAUGGAUGGAUUAGAUCACAUGUACAAAUAUUUUGUAACAGUAUUAUCUUACAUUAGCCACAAUUCUCUUCCAUUUUACUAUGCCGAUGGUUGGCUCGUUGCUGACACUUUUGCCACAGAUCAGUACGCUGUCACUGGGCUGAGGUUAACAUAUUCCUUAAUUUUUUUAAUUCUUACCGUUAGCGUAGGCCCACCGCCCUACAGGAGCAGCAGGAUUGCAAUUGCAGCCUGGGCGGGGGCGUGGAGCACCAUAGCAGCAGGCUGGCAGUUGCAGACUGUGUGGGGCUCCAUUGUCCAUUCGCUUCAAUCCGUCAGGUUGUGCGAGAAAUCAGAAAUAGCAAGCCAACACGGGACACGCACAGGCACAUGCUCCCUCUGCCGAGUUCCCUUCCGAUUCAGAGCGCCGAGCGCCCGCCCGGCCCCACCUGUGCAUGCCGAAGUCCUGCACAGAAAAUAGUCUGUCCCUUGUCCGAAGCCCACACGGGCGAGCAGCACCAGCACCUCACGUCGUCACCCACAAAACCGGAGCAGAUUCCUAGGGUUUCCAACGUUUUAAAAUGGUCGGACGAGAAACCCGCGCAUGCAGAUCGUUUUUAACAGAUUCAUUUGUCUUCAAGGUUGGCAAAUCGUUUUUGACGGGCUGCUGCUGCUGCUGGCCGCGGCGGGAGCUUUUGCAGAGACGGGAGAGGGACCCGUGAGCCGUGACCUACGGAAGCAAAGCGCAUCGAUUCGAACCCGUGGGGCCACAAGCCACGUCCCGAUGGCCGCUCCAACGGCAGCACGGUUCCAACUGCGAAGCCACCGGCGUAGCGCCGUACGCACUGUAGACUGCGUCCGAGCGAUACGUGUCGCAUGAACGACGCAGCGAAACGCGCAAGUGUCCUGCGGCGUCAGCCAUGCAGUUGCAGUUGCAGGUCCCUCGCUGUGGCCGGCCACCUGCAGUCUGCUCCUCUCCGUGCUGGGUCACGCGGCCGGGUGGGCAGUACUGUCUGGCUGUCAGCUGUCUGCAUUGAUUGAACGGAGGAGGGCCAUGAACCUUCCAGAGUCCCCGCGCCAAACGGAGACAACCAACCAGCCCAGCAGCGAAUCCAGACUCCGUUGGGCCCGUCAGAUCUGCGGCUCCAUUCCUUUCAAAUCCAUCCCAAGUCUAAGGAAAUCAAGAUCAACAACAAAGCAGAGUAGCUCCAAGAACAUAACCUCUUUACGUCCUCUCCAACAACCUUUUUACGCCCUUUUCUUAUGGACAGGGAAUCCCGGCUCCCGGCAUAGAGAUGGGCUGGGAAAAAAAACUUCAAAAGCUUUGUCAACUAGAUCUCCAAAUAUUCCUAUAUAUAUAUAUAUAUAUAUAUAUAUUAUUAAAGCAGGAAGGAAACACGGCCUGAUAGCCCAUCCACGUCAGUCGAAUUAUCUUAGCCGUUCGAUUGUCAAUCGUUGGUUCCCAUGCUCUCUCGUGCGCCCAUGUGUCUUAUCUGGAGGCUUCUAGGUGACACUUCUUUCCUCCUCGCAUCCUCUCUCUCCAUCCUGACUCACGCUCCCUCCCUCCCUCCCCAAGCAUCCCUGCCCACCCACGGCUCCGGCGACAGCGGCCGCCGUUUUGGACUCCAGAUCUGGCCGCCAUCGCUGCAACGGUCCAGGUAAGCGGCUAAUCUGCUCCGUUGUGCCCUGCUCUGCUCCUAGUCCUAGCGACGCAAGGGUUUUGGUUCAGUUUUUUUCCCUAGGGAAAAGGGAAGGGAAAAGCGAAGUGCAUGAAAUACAAAGAUUUGCUUUGGGAUUUUUUGGGGGCACUGCUAGUGUGUGUCGUGGCAUUGGAACGGAGUAAAAAGUGAGGGUUUGGUUUGGUAUUUUUGGAGCACUCCUGACUUAGUGUAUGUGUCGUGGUAUUUUAUUUCAAGAUCAAUCCAUUUGGUCCCCUAUUUUCUCAUGUCGGCUAAACAUUUUCCCUCUCUUGAUUUACAGCAUUAUUUCAGUGCAGUUUUGUUAACUCCUUUUUUCCUUUAGCAUGUCUUCAUUUAGUUUCUUAUUAUGCCCAUCCUUUUAUUUUUGACUAUGAAGCAGGCUUUCUGGAAUCACAUUUCUUGAGAACUAUCUGUUGGAGAGCUAAACUAGGCUCUUGUUCAUAUUAUGGAUCAGCAAGCUAAGAUUGAUGCUGAUUUUCUUGAACCAACUGUACUCUUAGAUGAGACACAUUACCAGGAGGGGUACAGAAAUGGCUAUAAUGAUGGUUUGGCAUCUGGAAAGGAAGAGGGGAGGCAGGUUGGUUUAAAGAUUGGUUUCCAGGUCGGUGAAGAACUGGGUUUCUUUCAGGGCUGUCUGGAUGUGUGGACGUCUGCAAUUCUCAUUGAUCAGAAUGCCUUCACAGCUCGGGUCAGGAAGAAUAUCGAGCAACUGGCUGCACUGGUGGGCAGCUAUCCGCUGUCCGAUCCGGAGAAUGAACAAAUUCAAGACGUGAUGGAGAAGAUAAGGCUGAAAUUCAGGGUCAUCACUGCAAGCUUAGGGGUGAAGUUAGAGUAUGAAGGGCACCCCAAAUCAUCUAAACAGGAUGUUGAGGAUCUGUGAGCGGUGAUUGAAAUUACAUUUUAGUUUCUCCGCCCUUGCUGUUUAAAGCUCUUCAACUCAUUGGCAUCAUGAGGAACUGCCGUGAGACAUCAAUGGUCAGAGUCCGACCAUAACCACAUAUAUAGUUUUAACAAUGUCUCAAGUUUUGUGUUAUUAUCUGUUGUCUGCCAUAUGUAAUAGUUUCCUUUUAGAAGGCAAAAGCACUUCCUUCCCAUUUUCUUUGAAGUACUUGUAUUCCUAUAGUCCAUUCCCGAUUUCUUUUUCGCCAAUUACAAAGACAAAGAUACCAAGCCGAAGUGCUAAAUAAGAUAUAGACAACUCGUCGAAGGACUUUGCCAAUGAGGAUUUAGGGACUGGUACCUCACUUGCAGGCUACGCCAUAAACAUGAGGGCUAAUGAUGUAGGCGUUCGACAGUCGGACACCGUCCAGGCUCAGACUCGAGAACCCAGCAUCUCGGAUGCUCUGUCCGGUUCUCCUGGUGAGGUGGCAUCCGUCCGCUACGAAUUGCUGCAAGGGAUCAAGCGCACCUUGAACCAAGCGGAGCAACGUACCAUCUGUGUCACGGACAAGAAGCAGCAGCUGAAUCAGCUGUUAGACCGAAACUCUUUUAGGAAAGAAAAACAAAUCCAUAUACCAUAUACAAAUGGAUGAUACAUAUAUCAUAAAGAAGGAAUAUGGAGCAGGUAGUCAGUAUCGAACCCGUAACCCCAAGGUUAUGAGCUUUGUGAGCUACCAAACUGCUCCACCUUCUUAGCGGGAAACUAGUGGGUUGGAUAGGCCCCUCUACCAUAUCUAUACAAAUAGAAUAGUCCAUUUAUACAGAAUGGUAAAGAGGGCUCUUCUACGAUCAUCAAUUCGAGAAAACCAUACAAAUAUGAAAGAAAGGGUAUUUUAUCCUUACCAACUGGAUCUUGUUGCACCCGGUAACAAACAUGCAUAAACCAUUUCUCGAAGUAUGUGUCCGGAUAGCCCAAAGUCUCGAUAGUUAGCUCUAGGUCUUCCGGUUAAAAAACAACGUCGAUGAAGGCGUGUAGGUGCACUAUUACCCGACAAUAUCAACAACCAGCUCUGAUAACACUUUCACGGUGCUUCUAU
Molecule: long non-coding RNA, 54258 nt
Filed under: Zea mays
Lineage: Eukaryota; Viridiplantae; Streptophyta; Magnoliopsida; Poales; Poaceae
Description: long non-coding RNA (ZMAY_LNC002653)
Source: RNAcentral